CUAAACUUUGUUAGUGCUGUUUCUUUGCUAUUCUUUUACCUUUCUUGGUCAGAGCGAUGUAGUGGGAGCUGCAAGCUUCACGUGCUCAACUUUGGCAGAGACUUUGGCAAAGUUAUCUGUGGUACCCAUGAGCUAUUGUUGCGUGUGGGAAGUGGGUGAUUGAACAGUAAGAUUCAUGUGCUUUCGACUUCACCAGAAGUCUUCGACAGAAUGCCCAUAAUUUCCGCAAAGCUGAGUGUGCGUGUGACAGGUGCUGACAAGGCUAGAAAAGUAGGUGCCUCUUCGAUUUCUGAGAUCGGCCCUCGUGAUCUCUGAGCAGCCCAGCUUUUGAGAAAACGAGCGCCUCUUCGAUUGAUUCGGAGAACGAUGCCUCUUCGAUUUUUGAGAAAGCAAUCAUGCUGGGGGUCUGGCUCUCGAGAUUCGGGGAGCAGUGUUUCUUCGAUUUUUGAGAAAGUAAUCAUGUUGGGAGUCUGGCUCUCGAGAUUCGGAGGGCGGCGCCUCUUCGAUUUUGGAGCAAGCAAUCUUGUUGGAAGUGUUUUCUCGAAUGUGAGUAAAGGUUGGGCAUGUUUGCUAGUCUACCUUGCCCCGAAGCACAGAGGUUGACACACAUGGACUUUCCAAUUAUCCAGCAAUGGUACUGUUCCUUUACCCUCUCUUCGAUUUUUGAGAAAGUAGUCAUGUUGGGAGUCUGGCUCUCGAGAUUCGAAGGACGGUGCCUCUUCGAUUUUGGAGCAAGCAAUCUUAUUGGGAGUGUUUUCUCGAAUGUGAGUAAAGGUUGGGCAUGUUUGCUAGUCUACCUUGCCACGAGGCACAGAGGUUGACACACAGGGACUUUCUAAUUAUCCAGCAGUGGUACUGUUCCUUUACCCUUGUGGGUAAUAAUAUGGUAGCUAGACCUUCAAAAUUUAUGGGUCUAAACUUUGUUAGUGCUGUUUCUUUGCUAUUCUUUUACCCUUCUUGGUCAGAGCGAUGUAGUCGGAGCUGCAAGCUUCACGUGCUCAACUUUGGCAGAGAACUUUGGCAAAGUUAUCUGUGGUACCCAUGAGCUAUUGUUGCGUGUGGGAAGUGGGUGAUUGGACAGUAAGAUUCAUGUGUUUUCUACUUCCCCAGAAGUCUUCGACAGAAUACCCAUAAUUUUCGCAAAGCUGAGUGUGCGUGUGACAGGUGCUGACAAAGUUGGAAAAGUAGGUGCCUCUUCAAUUUCUGAGAUCGGCCCUCGUGGUCUCUGAGGAGCCCAGCUUUUGAGAAAGCGAGCGCCUCUUCGAUUUCUGAGAUCGGCUUUCAUGGUCUUUGAGCAGCCCAACUUUUGAGAAAGCAAACACCUCUUCGAUUUAUGAGAUCACCCUCGUGGUCUCUAAGCAGCCCAGCUUUUGAGAAAGCAAACGCCUUUUUGAUUUCUGAGCAGGCGCCUCUUCGAUGUCUGAAGCUCCGUCGAGUGCAGCUUUUUAUAGGGGCUGGCAUUAAGUUCCAAAGCACACUUGAAUCUCCACCAGUAGAAGCUCCAUUCUUGCACUUCUAAGAUCUUGAUUUGUCCGACUUCUUCUCUCUUCAACACCUUUGAAAAUGUCUGGCCCCUCCGACCGUCGUUUUGACUUGAACCUUGUUGAAGAGGUAGCCCCGCCUUCUCCAGACAACAUAUGGCGCCCAUCCUUCGUCUCCCCUACUGGUCCUCUUACCGUUGGGGAUUCCGUGAUGAAGAAUGAUAUGACCGCUGCGGUGGUGGCCAGGAACUUUCUCACUCCCAAAGAUAACAGACUACUUUCCAAACGGUCUGAUGAGUUAGCUGUUAAGGAUUCGCUGGCUCUCAGUGUUCAGUGUGCAGGUUCUGUGUCUAAUAUGGCCCAACGCCUAUUUGCUCGAACCCGCCAAGUUGAAUCAUUGGCGGCCGAAGUGAUGAGUCUCAAACAGGAGAUUAGAGGGCUCAAGCAUGAGAAUAAACAGUUGCACCGGCUCGCACAUGACUAUGCUACAAACAUGAAGAGGAAGCUUGACCAGAUGAAGGAAACUGAUGGUCAGGUUUUACUUGAUCAUCAGAGAUUUGUGGGUUUGUUCCAAAGGCAUUUAUUGCCUUCGUCUUCUGGGGCUGUACCGCGUAAUGAAGCUCCAAAUGAUCAACCUCUGAUGCCUCCUCCUUCUAGGGUUCUGUCCAGUACUGAGGCUCCGAAUGAUCCCCCUUCGAUGCUUUCUCUUUCUGGGGCUCUACCGACUGCUGAGACUUCUCCUAAGCAACCUUUGUGAAGGCUCCAUCUUGUUUGUUUAUUUUGACUCAUGUAUAUGUACAUAUUUUUAGCUUAUCGGGGAUAUCAAUAAAUAAGUUUUCCUUCAUUUCAACGUAUUGUGUUAAAUACACCAAAGCCUUCUUCGCUAAGUUCUUUGAAUUUUCUUUUGUUGAAGCUUGUAUGUUGAAGCUUUCUGAGUGGAGCAUGUAGGUUGGGGCAGUGUUCCCUUAAUUUUCCGAGUGAGGAAAACUUCUCGGUUGGAGACUUGGAAAAUCCAAGUCACUGAGUAGGAUCGGCUAUAUGAAUCUUAGAACGCCAUUGUGCUCGGUCCUGUGUCAUGUCCCUCGUUAGAUCCAAGUACUCUAAGUCUUUUCUUAGAGUCUCUUCCAAAGUUUUCCUAGGUCUUCCUCUACCUCUUCGGCCCUGAACCUCUGUCCCAUAGUCGCAUCUUCUAAUCGGAGCGUCAGUAGGCCUUCUUUGCACAUGUCUAAACCACCGUAACCGAUUUUCUCUCAUCUUUCCUUCAAUUUCGGCUACUCCUACUUUACCCCGGAUAUCCUCAUUCCUAAUCUUAUCCUUUCUCGUGUGCCCACACAUCCAACGAAGCAUCAUCAUCUCCGCUACACCCAUUUUGUGUACGUGUUGAUGCUUCACUGCCCAACAUUCUGUGCCAUACAGCAUCGCCGGCCUUAUUGCCGUCCUAUAAAAUAAAAUUUCCCUUGAGCCUUCAUUGUGCACAUACGGCGUCUCACACAAACACGCCGGAUGCACUCUUCCACUUCAUCCAUCCAGCUUGUAUUCUAUGGUUGAGAUCUCCAUCUAAUUCUCCGUUCUUUUGCAAGAUAGAUCCUAGGUAAAAACGAAAACGGUCGCUCUUUGGUAUUUGAUCUCCGAUCGAUCCUCACCCCUAACUCGUUUAACUUUUGGCCUCCAUUUGCACUGAACUUGAACUCCAUAUAUUCUGUCUUUGAUCGGCUUAGGCGAAGACCUUUAGAUUCCAACACUUCUCUCCAAAGGUUAAGCUUUGCAUGCAUUUACCCCUUCCUGAGUUUCAUCUAUCAACACUAUAUCGUCUGCGAAAAGCAUACACCAAGGAAUAUCAUCUUGAAUAUGUCCUGUUAACUCAUCCAUUACCAACGCAAAAAGGUAAGGACUUAAGGAUGAGCCUUGAUGUAAUCCUACAGUUAUGGGAAAGCUUUCGGUUUGUCCUUCAUGAGUUCUUACGGCAGUCUUUGCUCCUUCAUACAUAUCCUUUAUAGCUUGGAUAUAUGCUACUCGUACUCCUUUCUUCUCUAAAAUCCUCCAAAGAAUGUCUCUUGGGACCCUAUCAUACGCUUUUUCCAAAUAUAUAAAGACCAUGUGUAAAUCCUUUUUCCCAUCUCUAUAUCUUUCCAUCAAUCUUCGUAAGAGAUAGAUUGCCUCCAUGGUUGAGCGCCCUGGCAUGAACCCGAAUUGGUUGUCCGAAACCCGUGUCUCUUGCCUCAAUCUAUGCUCAAUGACUCUCUCCCAGAGCUUCAUUGUAUGACUCAUUCACUUAAUACCCCUAUAGUUCAUGCAAUUUUGUACGUCGCCCUUAUUCUUGUAGAUAAUCACCAAAGUGCUCGUUCGCCACUCAUUUGGCAUCUUCUUCGUUUUCAAAAUCCUAUUGAAAAGGUCAGUGAGCCAUGUUAUACCUGUCUCUCCCAAAACUUUCCACACUUCGAUUGGUAUAUAUCGUCUGGGCCUAUUGCUUUUCUAUGCUUUCAUCUUCUUCAAAGCUACAACCACUUCUUCCUUCCGGAUUCGACGAUAAAAAGAGUAGUUUCUACACUCUUCUAAGUUACUUAACUCCCCUAAAGAAGCACUCAUUUCAUGUCCUUCAUUGAAAAGAUUAUGAAAAUAACCUCUCCAUCUGUCUUUAACCGCGUUCUCUGUAGCAAGAACCUUUCCAUCCUCAUCCUUGAUGCACCUCACUUGGUUUAGGUCCCUUGUCUUCUUUUCCCUUGCUCUAGCUAGUUUAUAGAUAUCCAACUCUCCUUCUUUGGUAUCUAGUCGUUUAUACAUAUCGUCGUAAGCCGCUAACUUAGCUUCUCUGACAGCUUUCUUCGCCUCUUGCUUCGCUUUUCUAUACCUUUCACCAUUUUCAUCGGUCCUCUCAUUGUAUAAGGCUUUACAACAUUCCUUCUUAGCCUUCACCUUUGUUUGUACCUCCUCAUUCCACCACCAAGAUUCCUUUUGGUGUGGGGCAAAGCCCUUGGACUCUCCUAAUACCUCUUUUGCUACUUUUCGGAUACAACUAGCCAUGGAAUCCCACAUUUGGCUAGCUUCCCCCUCUCUAUCCCACACACAUUGGGUGAUUACCUUCUCUUUGAAAAUGGCUUGUUUUUCUUCUUUUAGAUUCCACCAUCUAGUCCUUGGGCACUUCCAAGUCUUGUUCUUUUGUCUCACUCUUUUGAUAUGUACAUCCAUCACCAACAAGCGAUGUUGAUUAGCCACGCUCUCUCCUGGUAUAACUUUGCAAUCCUUACAAGUUAUACGAUCCCCUUUCCUCAUUAGAAGAAAAAUCUAUUUGUGUUUUUGACGACCCACUCUUGUAGGUGAUCACAUGUUCUUCUCUCUUCUUAAAGAAGGUGUUGGCUAAGAAGAGAUCAUAUGCCAUUGCAAAAUCCAAGAUAGCUUCCCCAUCCUCGUUUCUCUCCCCAAAACCAUGGCCACCAUGAAAACCUCCAUAGUUGUCUGUCUCCCUGCCCACGUGUGUCCAUUUAAAUCUCCUCCUAUAAAUAACUUCUCCGUCUGAGCAAUUCCUUGCACCAAGUCUCCAAGGUCUUCCCAAAAAUUUCUCCUUCGAACUCGUAUCCAACCCUACUUGAGGUGCGUACGCACUAAUCACAUUGAUAAGUUCUUGUCCUAUUACAAUCUUGAUUGCCAUGAUUCUAUCUCCUACCCUCUUGACAUCUACAACAUCUUGUGUCAAGGUCUUGUCCACGAUGAUGCCAACACCGUUUCUCGUUCUAUUUGUGCCCGAAUACCAAAGUUUAAACCCUGAGUUUUCUAGAUCAUUUGCCUUACUACCAACCCACUUAGUUUCUUGUAGGCACAUAAUAUUUAUCCUUCUCCUCACCAUAACUUCCACUACUUCCAUAGAUUUUCCCGUUAAGGUUCCUAUAUUCCACGUUCCUAAACGCAUUUUUCUCUCUUGAACUCUACCCUUCUGUCCUAGCUUCUUCACCCUCCCCCGUCUAAUAGGAUCAAAGUACUUCUUUUGUGUGUCCCGUGUAAAGUUGAUAGGAGCAUAUGCUCCCAAACAACUUUGAGUGGAGUCGUUCGAAAAGAAGUUUCUACGGCCCCCUUGCUCAUUUAACACUGCAUCCGGGUGCCGAUGGAGAUACAGCGACCCUUGCUCACUUAUCACUGUGCUCGGGCCACACAGCGCGCCACUUACGGGUGACGCCCUAGCUUUAGCGCGAUUUUGUUCUGGAUUCAUUUUCAUAAGGAUUCGACGUGAUCAUGGAGUGCCGGCUGUCGACUACCUGACGCCCUCCCCCUCCUCCUUUAUCCGGGCUUGGGACCGGCAAUGUAAAAUUACAUAGGCGGAGUUAGUGAAAAAUAUAGUAGUGAGGCAAAAAAAUAUUAUUAAAAUAGGGUUCCACCCUCAAGGAUAUUUUAUUAACGGAAAAUAUUACUUUAAUUUUCAAAUUUCACAGUGAGGCGAAGGUGAAAAUAAAUAGUUUGAAGGACGAGUUAUGUACGAAUUUGUAAAAACCGACAAAAAACCACGAUUUUUGUUAAAAAUGCAAAUUUUUUAUUUUCGAGAAAUAUUUUUCGUGAGCAUUAAGGAAAAUUUUAUAAGGCAUUUGGAAGUAGAUUUUCGAUUUAUUGAGCAACAAAUGUAUAUUUAGUAGACCAUUUUAGUCAAAAACUAAAUAAAUUAGUGAAAAAUAUAGUAGUGAGGCCCAAAACAUUGCCCUCAACAAUAUUAACAGAAAGUGAUACUUUAAUUUUCUAACUUCACGGUGAGGCGAAGGUGAAAAUAAAUAGUUAGACUGGCGAUUUAUAUACGAAUUUGUAAAUACCGACUAAAAAUUAUGAGUGUUAACCCAUAUUUUUUUUGUCACAAAUGCAAUUUUUUUUAUUUUCGCGAAAUAUUUUGUGCAAGCAUUAAGAAAAAUUUACAAGGCAUUUGGAAGCAGAUUUACUAUUUAUUGAGUAACAAAUGUAUAUUUAGUAGACUAUUUAAGUCGAAAACAAAAAAAAAUAAGGGAAAAAUAUAGUUAGUGAGGCCCAAAACAUUGUUAAAAUUGGGUUCCACCCACAAGAAUAUAACGCAAAGUAUUACUAUAAUUUUCAAACUUCACGGUGAGGCAAAGGUGAAAAUAAAUAGUUUGUACGACAAUUUAUGUACGAAUUUGUAAAAACUGACUAAAACCCAUCAGUGUUUACCCACGUUUUUUUUGUCAAAAAUGCACAUUUUUUAUUUUCAUGAAAUGUUUUUUGUGAGCAUUAAGGUAAAAUUUAUAAGGGAUUUGGGAGCGGAUUUACGAUUUAUUGAGCAACAAAUGUAUAUUUAGUUGAGUAUUUAAGUCGAAAACUUAAAAAAUAAGUGAAAAAUAUAGUUGUGAGGCCCAAAACAUUGUUAAAAUAAGGUUCCACCCUCAAGAAUAUUAACGGAAAGUAUUACUUUAAUUUUCAAACUUAACGGUGAGGCAAAUGUGAAAAUAAAUAGUUUGAACGACGAUUUAUGUACGAAUUUGUAAAAACUGACAAAAAACCGUGAAUGUAACACCCACGUUUUUUGUCAAAAAGGCAAAUUUUUUAUUUUCACGAAAUAUUUUCCAUGAGCAUUAAGGAAAAUUUAUAAGGAAUUUGGAAGUGGAUUUACUAUUUAUUGAGUAACAAAUGUAUAUUUAGUAGACUAUUUAUGUCGAAAACUAAAAAAAUAAGUGAAAAAUAUAGUAGUGAGGCCCAAAACAUUGUUAAAAUUGGGAUCCACCCUCAAGAGUAUAACAAAAAGUAUUACUAUAAUUUUUAAACUUCACAGUGAGGUGAAUGUGAAAAUAAAUAGUUUGAACAACGAUUUAUGUACGAAUUUGUAAAAACUGACUAAAAACCGAGAGUACUAAGCCACAUUUUUUUGUCAAAAAUGAAAAACUUUUAUUUUCUCGAAAACAUUUCUGGGAGCAUUAAGGAAAAUUUUAUAAGGCAAUUGGAAGCAUAUUUACAAUUUGUUGAGCAACAAAUGGAUAUUUAGUAGACUAUUUAAGUCGAAAACUAAAAAAAUAAGUGAAAAAUAUAGUAGCGAGUCCCAAAACAUUGUUAAAAUAGGGAUCCACCCUCAAGAAUUCUAAUAGAAAGUAUUACUUUAGUUUUCAAACUUCAAGGUGAGGCGAAUGAAAAUAAAUAGUUUGAAUGACGAUUUAUGUAGGAAUUUGUAAAAAUCGACUAAACACCGUGAAUUAUCCACGUUUAUUAUCAAAAAUGCAAAUUUUUUAGUCACGUAAAAUAUUUUCAUGAGCAUUAAGCAAAAUUUGUAAGGCAUUUGGAAGCAGUUUUGCGAUUUAUUGAGCAACAAAUGUACAUUUAGUAGACUAUUUAAAUCCAAAACUAAAAAAAAUGAGUGAAAAUAGAGUAGUGAAGCCUAAAACAUUGUUAAAAUGGGGUUCCACCCUCAAGAAUAUAACAAAAAGUAUUACUAUAAUUUUCAAACUUCACGAUGAGGCGAAGAUGUAAAUAAUUAGUUUUAAAGACAAUUUAUGUACGAAUUUGUAGAAACUAACUAAAAAUCGUGAGUUAACCACGUAUUUUUGUCAAAAAUGUAAAUUUUUAUUUUCAAGAAAUAUUUUCUGUGAGCAUUAAGGAAAAUUUUAUAAGGCAUUUGGAAGCAGAUUUACGAUUUAUUGAGCAACAAAUGUAUAUUUAGCAGACUAUUUACAUCGAAAACUAAAAAAAUAAGUGAAAAAUAUAGUAGUGAGGCAAAAAAUAUUGUUAAAAUGGGGUUCCACCCGCAACAAUACUAACGGAAAGUAUUACUUUAAUUUUCAAACUUCACAGUGAGGCGAAAGUGAAAAUAAAGAGUUUGAACGACGAUUUAUAUACGAAUUUGUAAAAACAGACCAAAAAGCAUGAGUGUUAACCCACUUUGUGUAACAUCCCACAUCGCCCAGGGGAGUGGAUCUUGUAAGCCUUAUAUGUAUAUUCUCAUCUCUACCUAGCACGAGAGUUUGUGGGAGUUCACUGGCUUCAGGUUCCAUCGGAACUUCGAAGUUAAGCGAGUUCGCACGAGAACAAUUCCAUGAUGUGUAACCCACUGGGAAGUUCUUGUGUGAGUUCCCAAAAACAAAAUCGUGAGGGCGGGGUCGGGGCCCAAAGCGUACAAUAUCGUGCUACGGCGGAGUCGAGCCCGGGAUGUGACAAUUUGGUAUUAUAACUAAUCCCUGGCCAGGGGUGUGCCGACGAGGACGUCGGGCCUCUAAGAGGGGUGGAUUGUAACAUCCCACAUCGCCCAAGGGAGUGGAUCCUGUAAGCCUUAUAUGUAUAUUCUCAUCUCUACCUAGCAUGAGGCCUUUUGGGAGCUCACUGGCUUCAGGUUCCAUCGGAACUUCGAAGUUAAGCGAGUUCGCACAAGAACAAUCCCAUGAUGGGUGACCUACUGGGAAGUUCUCGUGUGAGUUCCCAGAAACAAAACCGUGAGGGCGUGGUCGGGUCCCAAAGCAGACAAUAUCGUGCUACGGCGGAGUCGAGCCCGGGAUGUGACAAUUUGGUAUCAGAACCAAUCCCUGGACGAGGGUGUGCCGACUAGGACGUCGGGCCCCUAAGGGGGGUGGAUUGUAACAUCCCACAUCGCCCAAGGGAGUGGAUCAUGUAAGCCUUAUAUCUAUAUUCUCAUCUCUACCUAGCACGAUGUCUUUUGGGAGCUCACUAGCUUCGGGUUCCAUCGGAACUCCGAAGUUAAGUGAGUUCGCACGAGAACAAUCCCAUGAUGGGUGACCUACUGGGAAGUUCUCGUGUGAGUUUCUAGAAACAAAACCGUGAGGGCGUGGUCGGGGCCCAAAGCGAAAAAUAUCGUGCUACGGUGGAGUUGAGCCUGGGACGGACGAGAGCACUUGAACGUAUUUAUUUACACCCAGCCUGUUGUACAAACCACAUUAGGUGGUUCCGACUCGUGUGCAGGGAACUAGUUGAGGAGCUAUAAACUCAGUCGUACAGGCCACAUUAUGUGACUCUGGCUUGCAUACCAUUUCAUAUUGGGUUAUUCCACAUGGCUUACUUACUUCAUUGAUGAGAUAUUUGACGUGGCAUAUUUGUGGAUUUGCUAUUUUGAACAUGGUUUUGAGAUAUAUAUAUAUAUAUAUAUAUAUAUAUAUAUAUAUAUAUAUAUAUGCAUGUUAUUUUCUGGGAAUUAUACAGUUUUACGGCGAAGGGUUACUACCUUUGAUAAUUGCAAUGGUUUUUGAAAAGCUUUGUUUUUGCCCACUCGCACUUUCUGUUUUGCGCCCCUCUAGGUUUUAAUUGCUUAAAGUUCGUAUCGACGAGGAUUCUUGGAAAAUCUCAGGGUAGGUGGUUACUUCUGAGAGUAUAAUCCUUAUCCACUCUACUGUACUUACUUAUGCUCUAACGUCACGUGUGAAGUGAGUUCAUUCCCGCUCACCAGCGCACUCUGGUAUUUAGGCACUCUUAGGUUUAAAUUUAUUCACUUUUUUCCACAUCAUGACACUUUAUGGCUUCGUCACCUUCCAGGUGUCGGCUAGCACAGCUCGAUUCGAAGUCCUAGCGGACAUUUCAGGUCGGGGUGUGUCAGUUUGGUAUACAAUCAUCAAUACCUAUACUCACCUCGAACUUACCUGUGCGUCCGCAGCGUUAAAAAUAUUAUACACAACUAAGAGAAGCAUAUUCUAAGAUAUAAAGCAUUUGACAUGGCAUACUUAUGAAUAUCGCUUUUCUGAGCAUGGUUUUGAGUUAUGUAUAUAUUCUAUUUUUUCUGGAAAAUUAUACAGGUUUUACGGCGAGGGGUUACUACCUUUGAUAAUUGAAAUGGUUUUUGAAAAGCUUUGUUUUUGCCCACUCACACUUUCUGUUUUGCGCCCCUCUAGGUUUUAAUUGCUGAAGGUUCGUAUCGACGAGGAUUCUUGGCAAAUCUCAGGGUAGGUGGUUACUUAUAAAGGUAUAAUCCUUAUCCACUCUACUCUACUUACUUAUGCUCUAACGUCACGUGUGAAGUGGGUUCAUUCCCACUCACCAGUGCACUAUGGUAUUUAGGCACUCUUAGGUUUAAAUUUAUUCACAUUUUUCCACAUCAUGACACUUUAUGGCUUCUACACCUUCCAGGUGUCAGCCAGCACAACUCGAUUCGGAGUCCUAAUGGACAUUCCGGGUCGAGGUGUGUCAGUUUGGGUGACCCAGUGGGAAGUUCUCAUGUGAGUUCCUAAAAACAAAAUCGUGAGGGCGUGGUCGGAGCCCAAAGCGGACAAUAUCGUGCUACGGGGGAGUCGAGUCCGGGAUGUCAUGGAGGCCCAAGUAGGGAUGUGACACUUUGUUUGUCAAAAAUGCAUAUUUUUUAUUUUAGCAAAAUAUUUUCCAUGAGCAUUAAGAAAAAUUUAUAAGGCAUUUAGAAGCAGAUUUACGAUUUAUUGUGCAUAUUUAGUAAGCUAUUUAAGUUGAAAACUAAAAAAAAUUAGUGAAAAGUGUAGUAGGGAGGCCCAAAACAUUAUUAAAAUGGGGUUCCACUCUCAAGAAUAUAACAAAAAGUAUUAUUAUAAUUUUCAAACUUCACAGUGAGGAGAAGGUGAAUAGUUUGAAUGAUGAUUUAUGUACAAAUUUGAAAAAACCGAUUGAAAAUCGUGAGUGUUAACCCUUUUUUUAUGCAAAUAUUAUAUUUUUGUGAAUUAUUUUCCAUGAGCAUUAAGGAAAAUUUAUAAGGCUGCUGGAAGCAAACUUAAGAUUUAUUGAGCAACAAAUGUAUAUUUAUUUGAAUAUUUAAGUCGAAAACAAAAAAAUAAGUGAAAAAUAUAGUAGUGAGGCCCAAAAUAUUGUUAAAAUUGGGUUGCAGCCUCAAGAAUAUAAUGGAAAGUAUUACUAUAAUUUUCAAACAUCACAAUGAGGCAAAGUUGAAAAGAAAUAGUUUGAACGACAAUUUAUGUACGAAACCCAUGUUUUUUUUGUCAAAAAUGCAAAUUUUUUAUUUUCGCUAAAUAUUUUUCGGGAGCAUUGAGGAAAAUUUUAUAAGGCAUUUGGAAGUGCAUUUACAAUUUAUUAAGCAACAAAUGGAUAUUUAGUAGACUAUUUAAGUCCAAACUAAAAAAUUGAGUGAAAAAUAUAGUAGUAAGGCCCAAAAUAUUGUUAAAAUGGGGUUCCACCCUCAACAAUAUUAACAGAAAGUAUUAUUUUAAUUUAAAACUUCACAGUGAGGAAAAUGUGAAAAUAAAGAGUUUGAACGACGAUUUAUAUACGAAUUUGUAAAAACCGAGUAAAAAUCAUGGGUGUCAACCCACUUUUUUGUCAAAAAUGUUUUUUUUUUUUAUUUUUGCGAAAUAUUUUCCAUGAGCAUUAAGGAAAAUUUAUAAGGCAUUUAGAAGCGGAUUUAUGAUUUAUUGUGCAUAUUUAAUAGAAUAUUUAAGCCGAAAAUGAAAAAAAUGAGUGAAAAGUGUAGUAGUGAGGCCCAAAACAUUGUUACAAUGCGGUUCCACCCUCAAGAAUAUAACAAGAAGUAUUACUAUAAUUUGCAAAUUCCACGAUUAGGCGAAGGUGAAAAUAAAUAGUUUGAACUAUGAUUUAUGUGCGGAUUUGUAAAAAUCGACUAUUUUAUUUUCAUGAAAAAUGCAAAAUAUUUUAUUUUUGUGAAAUAUAGUAGUGAGGCCCAAAACACUGUUAAAAUUGGGAUCCACCCUCAUGAGUAUAACAAAAAGUAGGGUAAAUUACAUAGUAGCCCCUCAAGUUUGAGGUCUAUUACAAUCCCAUACAACGUCUUUAAAACAUUUCACUUUCAUACAUCAUGUACCAUUUUAUUUCAAAAUAAUACAUCCGUUAGAUUUUCCGUCCAUUAAUCUGUUAAAUGCUGACGUGGCUGCCACAUUUGUGCUGAUGUGGCUGCCAAAUGUGUGCCACGUGGCAAAAAUAAUAAUUUUUUAAUUUUUUAAAAAAAUACCUAAAUCUUCUAAAUUUAAAAAAAUAAAUAAUAAUAAAAAAUAAAAACCCAGAAUCUGAACAAAACCCCACCCCCGUGAACCCCCCUCAGCCUUCUUCCCUACUCCCAUCUUCCCCCACCCCAUACCUGCACCUUUGAAGGAAAAAAAAAAAACCAGAGAACAACCCAUAUCCCAUAUCCCCGCGAAACCCAUACCCCAUACGACCACCCCCCAACCCAGAUCCCAUUACCACGCCCCCCCCCCCGAACUGCAAGGACGUCAUCCUCACCUGCAUCAUCUUCGUCGUCGAAGACGACAACGAGCAGGAGCAGCAAGGCGACGAUGAGAAAUCCCGGUCGACAGCGAGAUCGGGUGGUGACAAAGGACCUCCGUGAGGAGCGGAGGGAUCAGAGAGAGAGCUCUGCGAUGCAGCGCAGGACCCAAAUUCACCGCCAAGGAGACGACCAGAACGUUGAGCCCAUUCCGACCCAACCCCCGACCCUCAUCCCACUCUCCUCACUCUCUCUCUCUCAAACCCCAAACCCCCCAGAUCCAAAACCCACACAACUCCGCCGGGUCACCUCCGCCAACGCCUUCCUCCUCAGCGGUUUGACCCUCCUCCCACUCUCCUCACUCUCUCUCUCAAACCCCAAACUCCCCAGAUCCAAAAUCCCCACCUUCUUCCCUCUUUCUAUUCGCCCCAACGCCAAUCCUAUAUCCAUCACUCUCUCUCCUCCUUCUGCUUUCUCACUCCUUUCUCUCCCUCUCUGACUCUCUCUCCGGCAACCCCCCCACCCCCCUCCGCGAACCUAGAUCCCAGAUUUGUGCAUUUUUUUUUUUUUUUUUUGCUUUUCUUUUCUGGGUUGAGAUCCCAUUAACCCCUUCCCCCACCCCUCGCGAACUCAGAUCCACACAGUUCGGUGGUGUUGGGAUUGGGAGUGGGGAUGAAGAUGGUGAAGGGAAUGAUUUUUGGGAGGUGGAAUUUGUGGGAUUGGGUUGCAGGGAAAAGGCGAGGCUCGGGUUGGGGGGAAUGAGGAUUUAACGGGAGUGGGUCGUCGGGGGGGGGGUGGGAUUUGAAGGGAGUGGGUCGUCAGGGGAAGGGGGUGGGAUUUGACGGAAGUGGGUCGUCGGGGGAAGGGGGAUUUAACAGGGAGUGGGUCGUCGGGGAAGGGGGUGGGAUUUGACGGGAGUGGGUCGUCGGGGGAAGGGGGAUUUGACGGGAAUGGUUCGUUGGGGGGUGGGGGGGGGGGAGGAGGAGGUUGCUGCGCUAGGUUUCUAGGGGGAUAAAUGGGGAGGUGGGUUUGGGAUUAAUUGGUUUCUGGUUUUGGGGGUUGCGGGUAAAGCUUUCAGGUUUUUUUUUUUUUUUUUUUUUUUUUUUAGAAGAUUAGAUUAAAAAUAAAUAAAAAAUUAAUUUUUUUUGCCACGUGGCAGCCUCAUCAGCACAAAUGUGGUAGUCACGUCAGCAUUUAACAGACUAAUGGAUGAAAAAUCUAACGGAGGUGUUAUUUUGAAAUAAAAUGGUACUGGAUGUAUGAAAGUGAAAUGUUUUAAAGUUGUUGUAUGGAGUUGUAAUUGACCUCAAAUCUGAGGGGCUAGUAUGUAAUUUACUCCAAAAAGUAUUACUAUAAUUUUUAAACUUCAAGAUGAGGCGAAGGUGAAAAUAAAUAGUUUGAACAACUAUUUAUGUACAAAUUUAUGCACUUGAUAAUCACAAAUGAGAUCAUAACAUCCAAAAAAUUAACGACUCAACCCAAAACUAUGAAAUACCAAAUUAAAUACAAAAACAUCACAACCCCAAACCCAAACAAAACCUCAAAUCAAUUAAAAAAAAUGGCCCAACCCGUGUCUCUCUCAUUUUCCCCUUCCCUUGCUCUGUCUUCCCACCUAUCUGUCUCAGUGUAUAUUCUCUAUGCCUCUCACGAAAUCAAAACUGCCAAAACCAUGAACCAACAGAAAACCUGCAAAAUACCAUAAACCUCCAGCUAUUUAUACCUUGGCAUAUUCAUUUUUUUACAACUAUCACUUCAACGAACAAAUGGAUUCAUCCACUAACAGCAUAAAAAAAUUUAUAUCACAAUUGAACUUAACACUUUAUGUCAUCAUCUCCCUCUCAAUGUUCCAUGUUUUCCAUACAAACCAAAACCAGAAAAUUUUCAAAAAUUGGAGUCGCUUGACUCAUCUUUUUUCACAAAUCACAAACCCCUUUUAAUCCAACAAUUGCAAAUACAUAUUAAAAUUGGGAUAAACAGAAGCAGAGAUAACACACCCAAAAAAUAACAGUGUCGUUCCAAUUCCUGCCAAAUCCGAGAUUUAUGAACUGAGAUAACAAAAACUGCAACUGAUCACAAAGCCAAACGGUUAGGGUUUGGUCCAAACUGACAAAAAUCGAAGGGGCAAUAAUCUGAAAUUACAGUUCUAAAAAUCAAAAUACAUUACGAAAAAUAACAAAUAAUUUGUGAAGCAGAGCAGAAGCGCGAUUUACCUCGACGCUUAUGUAGAGGGUUUGGAGGAUGGCUUCCUCGUAGUGGUCCAUGCGACCAAUUUGAUAAUAAGUACUCUGAAUCUCGUCAAUCCCAGACGGAUUCGAACGCAAAAAAGGCCAAAUCUUCGCCCCUCCCGAUGACAACUCUAGAAACAGUGACCAAUUUUAUGAAGCUGGACAAAACACCCACAACCCCACGUUUAAAAGGAUCCAAAACCCUCCACAAAUCAGUUACCAGAAAUAAGAUCUCUUAAAAUACGAAAAAUUUUGGGACAGAGAAGGAGCAGAAGAAAAACAGUGAGAAUAAGGCACGGAUCAGAGAAGGAGCAGAAGAAAGAAAGGUUUAAACGAAAUAGAAAACUCUCGAACUCGAAGCGGACAUAUCGAACUCGAAGGAGCAGAAGGACGAUACACAAUUUAUCUCUAUAUAAAGGAGAACGCAAAUUUUAAUAAAUUUUUCAUAUUGUAAAAAUGCUUCUCACUUCUUAUAACUACAACAACAACAACAAAGCCUUUUCCCACUAAGUGGGGUCGGCUAUAUGAAUCCUAGAAUGCCAUUGCGCUCAUUUGUGUCAUGUCCUCCGUUAGAUCCAAGUACUCAAGUCUUUUCUUAGGGUCUCUUCCAAAGUUUUCCUAGGUCUUCCUCUACUCCUUCGGCCCCGAACCUCUGUCCCGUAGUCACAUUUUCGAACCGGAGCGUCAGUAGGCCUUCUUUGCACAUGUCCAAACCACCGGAACCGAUUUUCUCUCAUAUUUCCUUCGAUUUUGGCUACUCCUACUUUACCUCGGAUAUCCUAAUUCCCAAUCUUAUCCUUUCUCGUGUGCCCAUACAUCCCACGAAGCAUCCUCAUCUCCGCUACACCCAUUUUGUGUACGUUGAUGCUUCACCGCCCAACAUUCUGUGCCAUACAACAUCGUUGGCCUUAUUGUCGUCCUAUAAAAUUUUCCCUUGAGCUUCAGUGGCCUACGACGGUCACACAACACGCCGGAUGCACUCUUACACUUCAUCCAUCCAGCUUGUAUUCUAUGGUUGAGAUCUCCAUCUAAUUCUCCGUUCUCUUGCAAGAUAGAUCCUAGGUAGCGAAAACGGUCACUUUUUGUGAUCUUCGCUAGAUUGCUCCGGUCAUUAGUGUGGAUAAGUAUGUAAAUGGAUAGAGAUAGGAAAGCAAACACAAGAUGUACGUGGUUCACCCAGAUUGGCUACGUCCACGGAAUAGAGGAGUUCUCAUUAAUUGUGAAGGGUUUACACAAGUACAUAGGUUCAAGCUCUCCUUUAGUGAGUACAAGUGAAUGAUUUAGUACAAAUGACAUUAGGAAAUAUUGUGGGAGAAUGAUCUCGUAGCCACGAAACUUCUAAGUACCGGAGUGUGGUAUCGUCUUGACUUGCCUUAUCUGUCUCAUAGGUAGAUGUGGCAUCUUCUCUGGAAGUACUCUUCCUCCAUCCAGGGGUGGUAUCUGUAACUGGUGGAGAUGCACAAGGUAAUGUAUCAAUUUCACUUGAAGCUUACUUGUAGUUUCAUGCUUGGUCAAGCGAGAUACAAACCAUGUAGUAGGAGUCCCCCAAGUCGCCGAGCUGGGGGAUCUGCUGAAAGAGGUGACAGACAAGGUAAGCAAUCAGAGCUCCGGCUGAUUGUUCACAUUCUCCCUAUCUUGCAGGCAGCAUGAAGGAUAAAGAGAAGAAAAAUGAGGAGAGAUGAUAUGGGAUACUUUUGCUUUUGAAGAAGUAACUUUCCACAGGCUUAUUCUUGAACUGAGCUGGAGGGUUUUCUGGUUUCCUCCAGAGUAUAAGGCCGACUGAAGAAUUUGAGGGUCAAAACAAGUCCAUCAAAUCUAGAGUACGUUCGACCCUGCUGAUAUGAGAUACUUUUGCUUUUGAUAGAGUAGUGGAUGUAUCGGCACGUGUGCUGUUACGCUUGUCUCCACAUGCUUCCUUGUAUCCUUCUCACUUGCCCUAUCUGUUCCUUAGGCAGAUGCGGUAUCUUCCCUGGAAGCAUAAGAUGUUGAAGAUGAGUACUCGAGAGCAAUGCCAGGUAAGUAAUCAGGUAAGGGGUUCCAGGCAGUCAAUUCCUGGCUGGAAGCUUGAUUCCAAAUGCUGACUGAUUGCUCUCUUUCUCCUUGUCUUGCAGGUAAGAACAAGGCCAAAGGAAAAGACAGGGAAAAAGCAUGAUAUGGGAUACUCUUGCUUUUAACCCUGAUGAUAUGAGAUAUUCUUGCUCUAGUAUAGCUUGUUUACAGAGGUAUUAUCGGGGGGAAAGAAAGCUGAAUAUUUCGAAAGGCUUUGUUGGGAGUGCCCUCUCAGAUAAGAGAAAGGGUUGAGCAUUUUUGCAGGUCUGCCUGUCCGUUAGGGAUGGAAGUCGACAUAUAUAGGAGUCUCCCUAACAUCAAGUAAUAAUGCUAUUCCUUUACCCUGCUUGGUUAUAGCACGGUAGUGGGAGCUGCCAGCUUCACAUGUUUUAACUCUGUCAGAGCACUUUGAAAAAGUGGUUUGUGGUAUCUGGAAAGCUGAUGUUGCGUGUGAAGAUUACAGACCUGUCAGGGGUCUGGCUCUCGAGAUUCGGAGAGCGGUGUCUCUUCGAUUUUUGAGAAAGUAAUCAUGUUGGGAGUCUGGCUCUCGAGAUUCGGAGGGCCGUGCCUCUUCGAUUUUGGAGCAAGCAAUCUUGUUGGGAGUGUUUUCUCGAAUAUGAGUAAGGUUGGGCAUGUUUGCUAGUCUACCUUGCCACGAAGCACAGAGGUUGACACACAGGGACUUUCCAAUUAUCCAGCAGUGGUACUGUUCCUUUACCCUCUCUUCGAUUUUGAGAAAGUAAUCAUGUUGGAAGUCUGGCUCUCGAGAUUCGGAGGGCGGUGCCUCUUCGAUUUUGGAGCAAGCAAUCUUGUUGGGAGUGUUUUCUCGAAUGUGAGUAAAGGUUGGGCAUGUUUGCUAGUCUACCUUGCCACGAAGCACAAAGGUUGACACACAGGGACUUUCCAAUUAUCCAGCAGUGGUACUGUUCCUUUACCCUCUCUUCGAUUUUUUAGAAAGUAAUCAUGUUGGGAGUCUGGCUCUCGAGAUUCGGAGGGCGGUGCCUCUUCGAUUUUGGAGCAAGCAAUCUUGUUAGGAGUGUUUUCUCGAAUGUGAGUAAAAGGUUGGGCAUGUUUGCUAGUCUACCUUGCCACGAAGCACAGAGGUUGACACACCGGGACUUUCCAAUUAUCCAGCAGUGGUACUGUUCCUUUACCCUUGUGGGUAAUAAUAUGGUAGCUAGACCUUCAAAAUUUAUGUGUCUAAACUUUGUUAGUGUUGUUUCUUUGCAAUUCUUUUACCCUUCUUGGUCAGAGCGAUGUAGUGGGAGCUGCAAGCUUCACGUGUCUCAACUUUGUCAGAGAACUUUGGCAAAGUUAUCUGUGGUACCCAUGAGCUACUGUUGCGUGUGGGAAGUGGGUGAUUGAACAAUACGAUUCAUGUGCUUUCUACUUCGCCAGAAAUCUUCGACAUAAUGCCCAUAAUUUCCGCAAAGCUGAGUGUGCGUGUGACAGGUGCUGACAAGGCUGGAAAAGUAGGUGCCUCUUCGAUUUCUGAAAUCGGCCCUCGUGGUCUCUGAGCAGCCCAGCUUUUGAGAAAGCAAGCCUCUUCGAUUUCUGAGAUCGGCCUUUGUGGUCUUUGAGCAGCCCAGCUUUUGAGAAAGCAAACACCUCUUCGAUUUCUGAGAUCGACCUUCGUGGUCUCUGAGCAGCCCAGCUUUUGAGAAAGCAAACGCCUCUUCGAUUUCUGAGCAGGCGCCUCUUCGAUUUCUGAAGCUUUGUCGAGUGCAGAUUUUUAUAGGGGCUGACAUUAAGUUCCAAAGCACACUUGAUUAUAUCCACCAGUAGAAGCUCCCAUUCUUGGACUUCUAAGAUCUUGAUUUGUCCGACCUCUUCUUCUCUCUUCAACACCUUUGAAAAUGUCUGGCCCCUCCGACCGUCGUUUUGACUUGAACCUUGUUGAAGAGGCAGCCCCGCCUUCUCCAGACAACAUAUGGCGCCCAUCCUUCUUCGUCUCCCCUACUGGUCCUCUUACCGUUGGGGAUUCCGUGAUGAAGAAUGAUAUGACCGCUGCGGUAGUGGCCAGGAACCUUCUCACUCCCAAAGAUAACAGACUACUUUCCAAACGGUCUGAUGAGUUGUCUGUUAAGGAUUCUCUGGCUCUCAGUGUUCAGUGUGCAGGUUCUGUGUCUAAUAUGGCCCAACGCCUAUUUGCUCGAACCCGCCAAGUUGAAUCAUUGGCGGCUGAAGUGAUGAGUCUCAAACAGGAGAUUAGAGGGCUCAAGCAUGAGAAUAAACAGUUGCACCGGCUCGCACAUGACUAUGCUACAAACAUGAAGAGGAAGCUUGACCAGAUGAAGGAAUCUGAUGGUCAGGUUUUACUUGAUCAUCAGAGAUUUGUGGGUUUGUUUCCAAAGGCAUUUAUUGCCUUCGUCUUCUGGGGCUGUACCGCGUAAUGAAGCUCCAAAUGAUCAAUCUCUGAUGCCUCCUCCUUCUAGGGUUUUGUCCAGUACUGAGGCUCCGAAUGAUCCCCCUCUGGUGCCUUCUCUUUCUGGGGCUCUACCGACUGCUGAGACUUCUCCUAAGCAACCUUUGUGAAGGCUCCCUCUUGUUUGUUUAUUUUGACUCAAGUAUAUGUACAUAUUUGUAACUUAUCGGGGAUAUCAAUAAAUAAGCUUUCCUUCAUUUCAACGUAUUGUGUUAAAUACACCAAAGCCUUCUUCGCUAAGUUCUUUGAAUUUUCUUUUGUUGAAGCUUGUAUGUUGAAGCUUUGUGAGUGGAGCAUAUAGGUUGAGGUAGUGUUCCCUUAAUUUCCCGAGUGAGGAAAACUUCUCGGUUGGAGACUUGGAAAAUCCAAGUCACUGAGUGGGAUCGGCUAUAUGAAUCUUAGAACGCCAUUGUGUUCUGUCCUGUGUCAUGUCCUCCGUUAGAUCCAAGUACUCUAAGUCUUUUCUUAGGGUCUCUUCCAAAGUUUUCCUAGGUCUUCCUAUGCCCCUUCGGCCCUGAACCUCUAUCCCAUAGUCGCAUCUUCUAAUCGGAGCGUCAGUAGGCCUUCUUUGCACAUGUCCAAACCACCAUAACCGAUUUUCUCUUAUCUUUCCUUCAAAUAAAAUUCAAAAGAAACAACCUCACCCGUGUAAAGAAGUUAGUGGGCAUUUUUUUUAUGAAUUUAUUACCAAUUAAAAAUAAUAAAUAAAUUUUUACUUGCGAAUUAAAAUAAAUAAAUAAAUAAAAAUACAAAAAGUGGUAAGAAUGAUGAAGUCCACAUGCGCCCUAUCACAUUAUCACUUCUCAAUUUGGAUAUACACGCAACAUUCAUCAUCUCUUUCAACAGUUGCACUAGAGUUACAGGUUUAGGAGAACGAGGAGACAGAGCUCAGAGAUGGACAUCUGGAGUUGCAUACUACUAGGUCUAAUGGUUGCAUGGAUCUCAAUUUACACUCUCUAUUAUUCACUUGGAAGAAGAUCAUCAGUUACCACAAGGCUCCCACCUGGACCAAACCCACUUCCCUUCAUUGGCAAUCUCUUAGAGCUUGGCAACAAACCCCAUAUCUCUCUCACCAAGCUUUCACAACGCUACGGCCCCAUAAUGGCCUUGCAACUCGGCCAAAUAACGACGGUGGUAAUUUCUUCAUCAACCGUCGCCAAAGAAGUCCUCCGAACCCACGACCAACUCUUCUGCAACCGAACCGUCCCAGAUGCGAUCCAGGCCUGUGACCAUGCUAAGUACAGCAUGCCCUGGAUACCGGUUUCAGCGGCAUGGAGAAACCUUCGAAAAAUAUGCAACUCGCAAUUGUUUGCCACCAAAGUUCUCGACGCCAACCAAGGCAACCGUCACCUAAAAGUUCAAGAGCUCAUAUCCGAGGUCAAAGAAAGCGUUUUAAAAGGUGAAGCCGUUGAUGUUAGAAGUGCUGCUUUCAAAACUACGCUCAACUUGAUGUCGCGUACCGUAUUCUCUGUGGAUUUGGCGGACCAGAAUAGUGAGACGGCUAGAGAGUAUAAGGAGUUGGUAUGGGGUAUUGUUGAAGAGAUUGGGAAGCCAAACUUGGCUGACUAUUUUCCUGUACUUAAGAAGAUCGAUCCCAUGGGAAUACGGCGUCGUCUGGCCAAUCACUUCCAGAAGAUGAUCGGCCUCUUUGACCGCAUGAUCACACAAAGGUUGGAGUCAAGAAAAUCACGUGAUUAUAUCACAACUAAAGAUAUGUUGGAUACACUUAUAAACUUCAGUGAAGAGAAAAGCGGGGACAUGGACAUGGCUGAAACUGAGCAUUUGUUUCUGGUUAGUUCCUACUAUAUAUUGUUCUUGAUUUGAUGAAUUAAAAGUAACUAGGUUUUCUUCGAUCAUAAUUUUUGUUGUUGCUGGUUCUUUACUUGUUUGUUAAUUAUGAGUUGUGUCGCUAUAUGUACCUUCUAAAAUGGUCAUCAUGUGCCUCACUUGAGGAGUACAUAAACAAUUGACGCUUCACAAGGGCUCUCUAUUAUUGCUACUAUUCUUGAGGGGGUGAAGGACUAUAUAAACACUUUGUUGGGAGCCUUUCGUAUUUAAAAGGAAGGAUUAUUGAGAGCACUAAAAUUUAGUGAAUGAAUUAUAGAAAACUUCAUUUUAAUCCUUAAAAAAGAUGAGUUUUAGAUUAUAACCCUGUGUAAGAUUAAAAUCCAAUUUUAGUCCCUAGUACAUUUAAUCAUAUCAUUUAUUAGUUAUAUUUUGAUGUUUUAUUUAUCUUUUUAUUUAUUUUUUAUUUUAAUGUAUUAAUUACAUUUAAAUUUAAUUUUUAUUUCAUUCAUCAUAAUAUAUUUUAAUGUCUACAUUUAGGCAACUAAUUUUUUUAUAAUAUAUAUUCCGAUAACAAUUUUAUAUGUUCUUCAUUUAGGUACAUUAAUACAUUUGAAUAUUUCGGUAUAUCCAUCGGUACAAACAUAUAGUUACAGUGAUUCAGUAUAAUGCAUUUCGUUACGUAUACUUUGGUACACACAUUUGAGUAUUGACUUUUAGGUACAUUAAUUCAAUAUAUUAUAUUUUGGUAAAUAAAUUUAGGUACAUACAUUUUGGUAUUGAUAUUUAGGUACAUACAUUUCGGUAUUGACAUUUAGGUAUGUACAUUUUGGUACAUACAUUUCGGUAUUGACAUUUAGGUACAUUAAUUCAAUAUAAUACAUUUCGGUACAUACAUUUAGGUUCAUUAUAAUAUAUUUCGGUACAAUCAUGUAGGUACAAAUAUUUCGGUACAAAAAAGUCAAUUUUAUAUAUUUAGCGCAGUCAUUUAUGUAUACUUAAUUAUGUAUUUAUAUAUUUUUGUAUCACAAAUUUCUUUUAAUAUUUUCUCAUUUAUGUUCAUUUCUAAUUAAAAAACUAAAUAUGUGCAUAUUAAUAAAAUUAAAAUUUAAUAUGGAAAGAUUAAAUAAAAAUACACAUUAAAUAACAAAAAUUGAAUGUAAAUUUUGAUAAAAGUACACUCAAGGGAUUAAAUUGAAUAUUUAAUCUAGCAUCAGGUUUUUUUUAAAUUUUAAUCUUUUGCAAGGACUAAUGUUCAAAAACCCCAAUGAAUUAUAUCUUUUAAUAUUAUAAUAGUUAUAUGACAAGUGGAUUUUUUAUAGGAUAACCCUGUCCUCGAGCCCGGAACUUUAAUUUUUUCACAUUGUGCCCUCGUUGACUUCCGCUUUAGCCAGAUUUGUAAUGAUCCAUGUCAAAGAUAAUUUAAUAAAAAGGGGGAGGGUGGAGGGUGGGUGUUUAAGGGCCCCAAUAAAUCAUAUGGUCACUUGAGUUAGUAUAAGUAGUUUUUUUCAUUCAUUAUAUUAGCUUCAUUUAAUUUUUUUGUUGGAGUAUAAUAAUGAUUAAAAUUGCUUUCUUGUCCCGUUUGUUUCAAGAUUAGAUCUUUAUGAAUACACCUAUUGUAACCUUGUAGGAAUGAAGUCUUGACAAAAUGUAGUCCCUUUGCUGUGUAGCGUCUUAUCAAAUUUUUUUAAAAUUCCUUUCUUUUAGUCAGUAGGAAUAAGAACACAUUUUUAUGCAAUGAUAUAUUUACACUAUGGGAAAUGAGGAAUAAAUUCGUUAUUUUUUAGAUUUAAACUUAAGACCUUUCACUUACAAGUGAAGAAGAAUGUCACUACUAAUUAGUAGCGAAUAAGAAUAAUAGUUUGUAAUAAGUUUUUCUUCUAUUCUCGUCACUUCGAUAUAUUAAAAUUUCAGACUAAUUAGCCAUUUGGUCAAUUAGGAUCUGUUUAGUGCAGCCACAGAUACAACUUCAGGCACAUUGGAGUGGGCAAUGGCUGAGCUACUCCGCAACCCAGAAAAACUAUCACAAGCACAAGCAGAGCUGAAGCAAAUCAUCGGCAAAGGAAAGCCAGUUAAGGAGUCACACAUUGCUGGACUCCCUUACUUACAAGCCAUAAUCAAAGAAACCUUCAGAUUGCACCCAGCCACUCCAUUUCUACUUCCUCGAAAAGCCGAAAUAGAUGUUGAAAUCUGCGGGUACAUUGUACCAAAGGGUGCACAAGUAUUGGUCAAUGCAUGGGCCAUAGGGAGAGACCCCAACAUUUGGGACGAUCCAAACUCGUUUAUGCCGGAGAGGUUUUUGGAUUCGGAAAUUGAUGUUUUAGGGGGAAACUUUGAUCUUAUUCCGUUUGGUGGUGGGAGGAGAAUAUGUCCUGGAUUGCCAUUGGCAAUGAGAAUGUUGAAUUUGAUGUUGGGCUCGCUUAUUAAUUCGUUUGAUGAUUGGAAGCUUGAAAAUGGAGUUGUAUCAGAGACCUUGAACAUGGAAGAGAAGUUUGGCAUCACCUUAAAGAAAGCUCAGCCUCUCAUAGCUGUGCCCAUGCUAUAUAAAAACCUAGCAUGAUUUUUACUUUACUCAAUAUUGUAUGUAUGGGAGUGCGCCUAUAGAACCAUACGUUGUUGAUAUUGGAAUAAGUUAAUAUUUAGUAGAAAAGAGAAUGUAAAUAUUUUGUAAUUACUAGAGUCUUGUUUUAGGAAAGGUAUUAUGUUCUUUAUUUGUUGCCUUUCUUGUAACUAGGGUUGUACAUAUCCUUUUAUUGAGAAUUAUGGAAUACACAGAAAUUAUCCCGUAAAAUUCUAUUUGGUAUCAAGAGCCAAAGCUGCCGUAACCCUAGUUUUUCCGUUGUGCUCAAUCAACUGUUUUUUUUGCAAUUCUUUUCGCAGAGAUCAGUCACUGUGCGUGUGUGUUGUUGCUGUGUGUGCAACCGUGUGUGAAUGGUAUUGCUGUGCUUGUGGUUUUUAACAGUGUACAAUUGUUGUGCAAUUGUUAGCAUACAAUUGCUUUGCAUCAAUUGUCAAAGUACCUUUUCCUUUAUCCCGUGGGUAGUAAACAAUUUGGCUUGCUGUCCAGUUUGUUGCAGUGAGUAUAACUAUAAUUCUUGUGCCGAGCUGCACUUGAAUUGUUGUCCAGUAUCGUGCCUUUGUUCCUGUGCGUGUUAGUACUAUUAUUUCAGAUUCUGUCUGCAAGUUCUGCAAUUUUUUCUCUUUUGAAAAAAAAAAAAAAAAAGGAUUUGUGGGUUCUUGCUACUGCUUGCAAUGUGUGGAUUGUUCUCUUGUACCGUGGGCUACAGUUUGUGCUAGUGAUUUCUGUCCGUGGAUCAGCGUGUCUACAGCUGCAAGUGUGUAGUUUGUUACGUAUAAGUAUUGUGCGUACUUGUUGUUUUGUGCAGUGUGUAGAGACUGAUGUGCAGUUGUUAUUACAAUGACCAAUACCGGUUGGAUUUUAGAUUCCGGUGCAACGGAUCAUAUGACGUAUGAUAGAACUUUGUUUCAGUCCAUGAAAGAUUCUCAUAGAAAGUGUGUGGCAACUGCCAAUGGUACUACUGCUGCCGUUGUUGGAGCGGGAACAAUGUCUCUUACACCCUCUCUUCCGUUACAUAAUUGUUUAUUGGUUCCGUCAUUGUCCCAUCACUUAUUGUCUGUACCUCAAGUCACUGAACAAUUGGAUUGUGUUGUAGUAAUGUAUCCUUCAUUUUGUUUGUUUCAGGAUAUUCAAACAAAGGAGAUCAUUGGGCGUGGCACUAAGAGAGAUGGACUAUAUUAUGUGGAUGACGUGGUUCCUGGAAGAGCUCAUUUGGUUCAUUCGUCACGUAAUAGGAAUCUACAGAAGGUAUUGUUAUUGCAUCGUCGUUUGGGGCAUGCAUCGUUUGGUUAUUUGAAACAUAUAGUACCUGAUUUGUUCAGUGGUAUUGAAGACUCAGAAUUGAAAUGUGAAGUAUGUAUUUUAGCCAAAAGUCAUCGUGCUUCAUUCCUUCCAAGUAUGAAUAGAAGAUCUUCUCCAUUUGCACUAGUACACUCUGAUGUGUGGGGGCCUUCCCCUGUUAGUACUACUUCGGGAAUUAGAUGGUUUGUUACUUUCGUGGAUGAUUGCACUCGUAUGACGUGGUUGUAUAUGUUGAAAAAUAAAAGUGAGGUUUGUGAUGUGUUUCGUCUGUUUCAACAGAUGGUUAAAACUCAGUAUUCCAUUGAUAUUAAAGUUUUGCGUUCUGACAACGGUGGAGAGUACAUAGCUUCUGAGUUAUCCCGGUUUCUACAAGAUCGUGGAAUUAUUCAUCAAACUACAUGUCCGCAUACUCCACAAAAUGGGGUUGCUGAGAGAAAGAAUCAUCAUAUCUUGGAAACUGCUCGUGCCCUGCUUAUUGGUGCGUCUGUGCCUAAACGUUUUUGGCCUGAAGCCGUUACCUAUGCUGUGUAUGUGAUUAACCGUAUGCCAUCUCGGGUUGUAGUAUCCACUAAUACCCUUACUCCUCGUGUGUUUGCAUGUGUAGUAUAUGUUCAUAUUCACAAGAUUCAUCGUAGCAAAUUGGAUCCAUGUGCCCUUCGGUGCGUUUUUGUUGGGUUUGCCUCUCAACAGAAAGGGUAUAAGUGUUAUCAUCCUGAAACUCGACAUAUGUAUGUGACUAUGGAUGUUACUUUUUCUGAAUCAGAGUAUUUCUAUUCUUCGAUCCCAUCACCUUCAUAUCACCAUGGGGAGAACACUAGUGGUGAUCAAGUUGAUCUUGGGUGGUUAGAGGUACCCGAGGAUGUGAUAUGUAGUUCAGGGGGAGCAUGUGUUGACGACAAUGAUGAAAAUGGGACACCAAAUUUUCGACAAGAAAUUGCCGAGAAUGAUAUGGGCCUUCAGCUGAUGCCUGCCGAGACAAGUGCAGGCUUUAGGCAAGGUCCUACUGAGGAAGCUAUAAUAAUCCAGCAGCCUAUUGUCGAACCAAGUACUUCAAGGGAAGAAGUGCCAUCUGCAGAACCUACAUCACCCUCUCUCUCUCGCUCGAUAGUGCCACCCAAUGUGUCUACUCUGAAUAUCCCUGAGGUAAGUACUACAGAUGCUCAUGUAACUAAUCCAAAUAAUGAUGUAAGUAUGUAUAAGUUGCCGCCAAGGCAAAAUCGUGGUGUUCCUCCUGAUAGGUUUUCUCCUGAAGGAAAAGUAAAGUAUCCAAUAUCAAAUUAUGUGUCGUGCAAAAACCUUGCACCUGAACGUCAAGCCUGGGUAAAUAAUGUGGAAGCAAUCCAAGCACCAACCCGAGUUGAGGAGGCCUUGAAGGAUCCUAAAUGGGCUGCUGCAAUGGAUGAAGAAAUGAUGGCACUACACAAGAAUGAUACAUGGGAGGUGACGGAGCUACCUAAAGGCAAGAAACCAGUUGGGUGUAGAUGGGUCUUUACAAUUAAAUAUAAGGCAGACGGAUCGGUAGACAGAUAUAAAGCAAGGUUAGUAGCGAAAGGGUAUACUCAAACUUAUGGUAUUGACUAUCAGGAAACUUUUUCUCCGGUAGCGAAGAUGAAUACGGUACGUGUUCUGAUUUCUUUAGCUGCAAACUUGAAUUGGCCACUGAAACAGUUUGAUGUAAAGAAUGCUUUUCUUCAUGGGCACCUAGAAGAAGAGGUGUAUAUGGAUUUUCCUCCGGGGUACAAUGCUGGAGGAAAAACCGGAGUAUGUAGAUUGCGAAAGUCACUCUAUGGACUUAAGCAAUCACCUCGUGCAUGGUUUGGGAGAUUUACUCAGGUUAUGAGGAGGUUUGGAUAUUAUCAAAGUCAUUCGGAUCAUACAUUAUUUGUGAAACGGGGAAGUGGUAAAGUGACUGCCUUAAUAAUUUAUGUAGAUGACAUGAUAAUAACCGGUGAUGAUUCAGAAGAGAUGAUGAAGCUUGAACAAAACCUUGCUGCCGAGUUUGAGAUGAAGAAUUUGGGAGAUUUAAAAUACUUUCUUGGAGUGGAAGUCGCUCGGUCAUCUAGAGGUAUUUUCUUGUCUCAACGUAAAUAUGUUCUGGAUUUAUUAAAGGAAACAGGCAUGCUGGGGUGUAAACCUGUGGACACUCCUAUCGUAGAGAAACAUUAUUUGGGGAUUUAUCCAGAUCAGGAACCGGUUGACAAAGGGAGAUAUCAAAGACUGGUGGGGAGGCUGAUUUAUUUGUCUCAUACUCGUCCGGAUAUUGCUUACGCGGUAAGUGUGGUUAGUCAGUUUAUGCACUCACCAAGUGUAGAUCAUAUGGAGGCAGUGAUGAGAAUCUUGGCAUACUUAAAGUCUGCUCCGGGUAAAGGAGUUUUGUAUGAGAGUCAUAGGCAUAUGAGGAUCGAGGGAUUUACGGAUGCUGAUUGGGCCGGUGAUGUGACUGAUAGAAGGUCUACAUCGGGAUAUUUUACAUUCGUUGGAGGCAAUUUGGUUACGUGGAGGAGCAAGAAGCAAAAUGUGGUGUCACGGUCUUCUGCCGAAGCUUAAUAUAGGGGAAUGGCACAUGGUGUAUGCGAGAUGCUUUGGCUGCGAAAGUUACUUGAGAGCCUUGGUUUUACACAGAAGGAGGCAAUGAAGUUGUAUUGUGAUAAUAAGUCCGCUAGAGAGAUAGCCGAGAAUCCAGUACAGCAUGACAGGACUAAGCAUGUUGAAGUUGAUAGACAUUUUAUCAAAGAAAAGCUGGAGAAGAAGAUUGUGUCAAUACCAUUUGUGAACUCAGAGGAACAACUUGCAGAUGUACUUACCCAUGCCGUGUGCAAUAGAAGGUUUGGUGAGUCGCUUGUCAAGUUGGGCAUGAGUAAUAUCUAUGCUCCAACUUGAGGGGGAGUAUUGGAAUAAGUUAAUAUUUAGUAGAAAAGAGAAUGUAAAUAUUUUGUAAUUACUAGAGUCUUGUUUUAGGAAAGGUAUUAUGUCCUUUAUUUGUUGCCUUUCUUGUAACUAGAGUUGUACAUAUCCUUUUAUUGAGAAUUAUGGAAUACACAGAAAUUAUCCCGUAAAAUUCUAUUGUUGAUAUGUAACCCCUGUUUGUCGCGUUUGACAAAAUUGAUAUCGUUUGAGAGUGAAAAAACGAUAAGUACUAAUGAGAAUGAUGCAAGAGAAAGUUUUGCUCCGCAAAUUUUGAGAGCACACUCGGUGGAUUUUGUAAAUUCCACAAACCACAAACAAUAUAACAUUUUAUUUACAGCCAUUGCAUUUCUUGAUGAUGCCAAAACUAAAGUACAGAACCAACUGAUGCUCAGUUAUCUAUCAUAACACAAAGAAUCCUACUCACUUCCAAGAUUUAUGGAAUUGGACAGCCAAAUAACACUGUCAUUUUUGUAUCUACAUAUAUUUACCAAGUUCUAAACAUUAAAAAUUACCUUAAUGUCUCAUAUUAACAAAACUAGCAAAAUAUAUAACCUUAUCUCAAGAAUAGCAUUCUUUUUGCAUAAUUUUUUUGUUAUUCGUGAAAAUAGUGGUUAAAACCGUACUAUUUUUGUCAAAAAAUGAACGAAACCGAACGUGGCGCGUAUUUUCCCUUAUUUUUUCUAGGCGAUGUCAUAAGCCAUGCUGAUUCGAACAAUUCAAGGAGGUCAUCUUUAGAGUUCGUUUCGCUAUCAUCAUCAGCAACACUACUCUCCACUUCUUCCUUGUUAUUAACGUUAUUCUCUUCUUUUUUUCCAAUCCCUCCUUUAUUUGUUCCCUUCUGCAGAAGCACUUCCUUGUAAGUAACACCUCUACGAGGAGAAGAAGAGGUAUUACCCUUAUUAAUGUGAUCACCACUUGCAGCAGCAUUAUUCUUAUUACCAUUUGGGGUAGACCAGUCAGCUUCAUGAACCGAACCCGGUCCAUGGUUGCGAUCAAUAUUGCUGCUUGUAUCAAAUGUGGAAUUUGUGUUUGUGCCGGAGUCUAGUAACUGUUGGCAGCGUCGUAGAAUGAAAUUGAAAACAUAAAUUUACUCAAACCAUUCGAAGUAGAAAGAACAAUGAAGCUUCUUCCCUCCUCUAAUGUUGGAUUUGUGAAUUACUGAAUAUGGAUUUGUGAGUUCUUGGGAGUUUAUUCAUCUUCUCAGUCAGUUUGCAGCAGCUUAUUCUUGAGUCCUGAUAGGGAUUAUACCACACACGCACAAGGGUUAAAAACUCCUAUAUUUCUUGCAAGAAUGACAAGAUUAUUGUAGUAUAAACGGUUCUCGCAAGGUCGUUCUCCACAAGGAUUAUUAAAUAAUUCGAAGCAAAUCAAAUUCCAAUUAAUUAUUCUAAAGGAGAAAGUUGAGAUGAUUGAUUUUAUAACCUACUUAAAUUAAAAAUGAAUUUAAUAAAUAAAAGUAAACUAAUCUGCAAUAUUAAAACUGAAAGAAGAAGAAACAGUUUGGGAGAAAUCAAAUUAAGAAAACAUUAGGGUUCCAACAUCACCUAGCAAUCCUAUGAACUUUUAUCAAUUACUUAUGAUCUACACAUGCCACUUUGAAGGUUAGGUUUUUCUAAUUCAUAUUUUACUUGGAACCUCCAACAUAGAACGUUUAUCUAACAUACAACCCGUCCGGACGUUCGGAUCAAAUCUGAACAUGAGAGACUCAUUAUGCUUUAUGAAAACCCUUUGAAAAACCAUGCAACCCUUAAGACGAAGUGUUCAUCUUAAGUGAAAUUACAAUUAUUAACCACAUGAAGUCAGCGUCAAUUCCAGAGAACCUUCCAACCAAAAUUGUAUCAAAUUACUUUUCUAAAGAUUCUAAUGGUGAUCAGUCAUUAAGACAAUUAGAUAGUUUUAAUCACGGUGAUUAAUAAUUCAAAGUAUGCAUGCAUUCAAUCAUAAGCAAUUAAAUAAAAAAAGAAUUAGUUUCGCAUAUUCAUAAUUAAAAUCAUAGAAAAUAUUAUUAAGAAUAAAAGGAAUGAAAAUACCUUAAAGUAGAAAAUCUCCAAGAACCCUAGCAAUUACUCUCUAUCUCCAAAGUUGCAUCAAAGAAAGCGUACGUAAAAGUGAGAACGGCAAAAGCAAUAUAACUGCUAUGCCCCCGCACAACUCCUAAAACAUAGGUCUCUUAUUCCAAUUAGGAAACUAAGAACAAUAAUAAAAUAUCUUAGAAAAUAAAAUCCUAAUUAAACUAGGAUAAUCUGCUAAGUACUUGUCCAGCCACAUUUUAGCCUCAGAUAUCGUCCAAAUCCAGCCCAUAAUAGCUUGUUUUGAAGAUCAGGACGUUCUGAACAUAUCUCCAAAAGGCCACAAACUCAUCCGAGGUCAUUAUGGGCUCCAAAAACGCAAUUCAAGCCCAAAACGUCAUUAUUCCAGAACCGCGCAUCACUCCUUUAUUUUAUUACUAGAAAAUAACCGCUUGGUAGACAAAUCCCAAAUUUUGAUACAAAUACGCCAAGAGAGACACAAGCGUCCUCCAAUAUUGAAAAUACAAAUCAAAGUAUCAAAAUUCUACAAAAAUAAUUACCAAAACAUACUAAGAAUAGGGUAAAAUAUAUAAUAUGAAAUUGACUUAUCAAGUCCUCCACGAUCAGGUUUCCUUUUUGCACGUUCAAUUUCUUUUCUUUUUUCUUUCUAUUUUAUCUCAGUUUGUGGCAGUUUAGUUCGAGUCAUCCACGAUCAGGUUUCUUGUGAGUUUUAGUUUUGCUUAAGUUUGGUUUACUUAACCAUCCUUUAGUUUUGCUUAAGUUUGGUUUACCUAACCAUUCUCCUUUGCUUACAUUACUUGCUUAUCCCUUCAGGAACUUCCCACACAGGAGUGUCUUCUGUCCUUUUGAUCUGGUAGUCGAAAGAAUACCAUGAUUCAUUACUGAUGUUGUUCGUUUGUGUUUUAAUUUCUAAUGUUAUUCUAUUGCACAUGCACCUUUGAAGCAUGAACACCAAGAGAUGUGGUUUGAUUAUGUUAAUUCGUCUUUUUGAAACCAGAAACAAAUGUGUUGCAGGAAGAAUUCUUUGGCACAAGGAAUUAGAAAAUAUAAAAUGUGGGGAGAAAAUUGUUGCGGCAAAAGGAAGAAAUCAGGAUCCAAAUUCGAUCAGAGUCGAAUGUUUGAGUGAGUUGGUUCAAUCAGCAUGUACAGGUUUGGGAGUUUGUAUUACUAACAAUUUUGAAAAUUUAUCUUCUAUAGGUUUUCAGAAUGUUGGAAGGUAAAAGUGGAAUCAUUUUAUUCUCAUUGGUAGUUUCUUGACUUGCUUAAUAAUUUAUAUGGUACAUUAUUUUCAUUGGAGUAUGCAUGAUUCCUCUGUCUCUUCACUUAUUUUACAUAUAAAAAUUCUUUUGAUAAUUUAUAAUGUUCCCUUACUCUGCGUGAGGGAUUGUGUAGUUUUACAGAAUCAACUAUUCAUUUUGGUGGCAGCCAAAAGUUCCAACCGUCUUAAAUACUUCGGACAAAUGUUCGCAGAAAAUUACUGAUUUUGAUAUUCUGUUAAGUUACAUUUUGCAUUGUCUAGAAUAUAAAAGCCAUGCAGGAAUGGAGUUUAUAGGCUGCUAAAGAGGCCCCUAUCAACUCUGCUGCCGUGAAGUACACAAAUUUCUUAUUGGCAACAACCUCUGGAAAAGUUGGAGAGUUGAUAGGCCCCAAUCAAAAUUAGUUUUAUCACUCCCUUAAUAUGGAAAAUUAUGGACGUAUAAAUCAAUGCAUGUAGAACAUGUAUGAAGUGUUUCUAAAGCAAAUAUGUUUUUAUGCAUGCACAAAUGUGGAAGGAAUAAAAACUCUGUAUGCCACGUGUAGCACGUCGUAAUGUAAAAAAUGUAUUUUGCACGCGCAAAGCACAUGCAGAAAGGCUAGUUAGUUAUAAUCCACAUAAUCAUCUAAUAUUUACAAAUCUCCACAUCACUCUUAAUCUAGACCAUUGAAUAUUAUAAGAUCUAAAGGCUAUAAAGGAAUGUAAAAGUAUUUGUCCAUUGGUUCUAACCCAUCAUAUAUAUAUAUAUAUAUAUAUAUAUAUAUAUAUAUAUAUAUAUAUAUAUAUAUAUAUUAUCUAUUAUAUUAUUAUUAUUAAGAGAACUCUCCUUGUCAAUCUUUCUCAAAUAUGACAAUCAUAUUCCUAUUUUACCCUAAACAUUUUCUCAAAAUGACAAUCAUAUCCUAUUUUUUGUAUUUUACCCUCACACACAAUAUCUAAGGAGGACAAAACAGUAAUAUGAGCCUUUUGAGAAAAUGACAAUCAUAUCCCUAUAUUUUACCCUCGUUUUUUAUACAUAAUAUUUUCAUAAAGAUGACAAAACAGUAAUUAUGCAAUACUAAGAAAAAUAUGCCCUUAUUAAUAGAAACGAUCUCAUCAUCAUUGUCCCAUGCUUUAAAAAAAAAAUUAGAAACUAAUCACACUCCUUAAUCAAAAAAAAUAAAAAGAAAUUGUUCACACACAAAAUGUGUGCUCAUCUGCUAUUCUGAUAAAAUGUCAUCAUUCACUCAAAACAUGCAUAAAUAUAAUGGAGAAGUACAUAAUGAUUUUUUUCUAAGUGCUAAUAACAAGUUUUGUAGUAGUACACAUUAUAAUAUCAUUCAUUUUGCGCAGGCUUCAGCGAUGAAAAUAAGCAAUGUAGUAUAUGAUAAUGUGAAAGGCACAUAUGCCUCAAAAAUGGGAGUGAAAUUUGACUGUAGCAAGCGCUUCAGAUGUUGAGAGAUUUUGUUAAAAGACGUAAACCUAAAGCCUCUGGUCGACGGAAUUGCCCAAGCUUCGUGUGAGAAUGUCAGACUAAGUCAUAGAGGAACGGUUUCUCCAAAAUGCUUUCCUUAAUACAAUUGGUUCAUGAACUUUCACCAUAUUUAGUUCAGAUAUCGUCAUUAAAUUAAUCUUGGUCUUUGAAACGGCAAAAGAUGAAUGAAUCAUAAAGAGGGCAAAGAUGGCCUUCAUUUCUGUAGAGGUACCCACAAAGUUGUACGCGCUAAAGGUUCGUUAGACCUCACACGUUGGGAAGCAACUGUGAAAUUUGUGAUGACUAAAUCAACUACUGAAAAGAUAAUAGUUGAGAAAUAGAAACCACACCCAACGCAUAUUGGUGCAAAAUCUGCUUGGUACCCAGUUUUCAAAUGUUUUAUAACCCGAAAUUCUUAUCACAAUGCACUGUUGUUCACGACCUGAGAAACCCGACCCAAUGUCAACAUGUUGCAAGAGUUAUACGAAAAAUGGGUUCAAGCUGAUAGAAUUAACGUCCUACAUGAUUACAAGGUUGUUGUGUUGGGCAAAAUUGCAGUUAAUUCAAUUCUUGCGAUUAAAUACAACAUAUUGAAAACGAUAUCGUAAUUGUCUAAGUUAGUUCAUACCAACUUUGAGAAUGAUAUCGGAACUGUCUGAGUUAGUUCAUACCAACUUUGAAGAUGUGGAAGAGGUCAUUAGAAUGGACAGGAGGGUUGGACUUCACAUUGAUUCAAAUCUCGGAAUUGGAGGGCAGGGUAUAUUCUCCACCAUUACGGCUUGAAGUAAGACUCGGAAGAAGUUCACAAAAUCAUUAAAUUGAAUGGUGAAAGUACAAGUUUAUUGCUACGAUGAUUAGGAGGAUGGGGACAAUAAGAAAUAAGAAGAUUGUUGUAUUCGGAGUUUCCUACGAAUACAAAUGAUGUGCGAAACUCAACGGCAAUACAGAUUUGCAAAUGUCUGUUGAAAGAAGGAUGUGAUAAAUUAACGAUUUAUGAUGCUAAAGCAAGAAGAGAAGACAUAGUACGGAGAGCCUAGCCAUGGAGAGCCAUGGAGAGAGCAGUCUUUAAUAAGAGGGUAGAGAUUGAUGUAGAGGCUCACAGAGCAUGGGGAGGAGCUCAUGCAAUUGUGUUUUUGGUCGAUUUAGAUGAGUUUGAAGAAUUAUCCUGCGAAGAUAUUCAUGAAACAAUGGAGAAGCCACCAUUUAUUUUUGUGGGAUACAAUCUAAUUCGACACCAUUAGAUAAAAUAUGGGUUUAAAUAAAAUUUAUUGGAAAUUACCUCUAGGUCUGAUUGAAUCCCAGAGUCCUAACGGUGUUCAGAUUUAGAUUGCAUCCCACAAAAAUAAAUGGUGGUUUGCCCAUUGUUUCAUGAAUAUCUCCCCAGGGUAAUUCUUCAAACUCAUAUGAAUCGACGAAAAACACAAUUGCAUGAGCUCCUUCCCAUGCUCUGUGAGCCUCUACAACAAUCUCUACCCUCUUAUUAAAGACUGCUCUCCAUAGCAGGGAUCGUACUAUGUCUUCUCUUCUUGCUUUAGCAUCAUAAAUCGUUAAUUUAUCGCAUCCUUCUUUCGACAGACAUUUGCAAAUCUGGAUUGCCGUUGAGUUUCACACAUUGUUUGCAUUCUUUUUGUAGGAAACUCCAAUACAGCAAUCUUCUUAUUUCUUAUUGUCUCCAUACUCCUAAUCAUCGUAGCAAUAAACUUGUACUUUCACCAUUCAAUUUAAUGAUUUUGUGAACUACUUCCGAGUCUUCCUUCAAGCCGUGAUGGUGGAGAAUAUAUUUGUAGUAGUACAAGUCGUUGGUAAGACACUGCUCUCCAAUUCCGAGAUUCGAAUCAAUGUGAAGUCCAACUCUCCUGUCCAUUCUAAUGACCUCUUCCACAUCUUCAAAGUUGGUAUGAACUAAUUCAGACAGUUCCGAUAUCGUCCUCAAUAUGUUGUAUUUCAUUGCAAGAAUUGAAUUAACUGCAAUUUUGACCAACACAACAGCCUUGUAAUCACGUAGGACAUUAAUUCUAUCAGCUUGAACCCAUUUUUCAUAUAACUCUUGCAACACGUUGACAUUACCCCCUAAACUAUUCCAAUAGCAAUAUGGCUUGGGUUUCUCACGUCGUGAACAGCAGUGCCUUGUGAUAAGAAAUCCGGGUUAUAAAACACUGAAAACUGGGUACCAAGCGGAUUUUGCGCCAAUAUGCAUUGGGUGUGGUUUUCUAUUACAUCAAUUGGCAGGGUGGAUUUCUCAACUAUUAUCUAUUUAGAGUUGAUUCAAUCAUCACAAAUUUCAUAGCUGCUUCCCAACGUGUGAGGUCUAAUGAACUUUUAGCACCUACACCCUAAGGCUUUGUGGGUACCUCAACAACAAUGAAGACCAUCUUUGCCCUCUUUAUGAUUCCUUCAUCUUUUGUCGUUUCAUCACAUACAAAACAGACAUUAUGAGAGUGUUUGGCAUCAUUCAACAAGUCUCUCAGAUGAGGCUCCUCAAAAGGCAAUGCAGCAUCAGGCACACCAUUCCAGACAUUAUUCCAAGCUCAAUCUUUAAUUUGUCAGUAUCAACAAUUGUAAAACCUAUACCGUGGUGAUUUGAAGCCAUGACAAGCAUGUUCACAACGCCAGAAAGGCUGGCCCCUAAACAACAAACAUUCUGAACCUGCAUAAAUAAUAGUUUGGGGAUGAGAAAAUCUUGAGACAUCUAGGUUUUCACGUUAGUAUUCAAAGUUUACAGUUGAGCAAAAACUGUACUGUUUACAAAUUUCACUUCACAUGACAAAUAUGUUUUCAAAUCAUAUAUAUGCUAUAUAUCAAUUAGUACGCCGUCUCACGUUAUUAAUCAGUAUGCUAUAUAUUAAUUAGUUGUUCAAUUGAUGCCAUAGCAGUAAACUGUAUAAGUACUUGAGGAAAAAACAUACAACUGAUGCUUUUGGAACAUAAAAAACUUUUUCUUUAAAAACGAUUUUAAUCAAUUUAAAAGCACAUCCAAAUGAGCCCAUAUUUGGGUGGACAAUAAAAUUUGAUCUUGUAACUUCACCGUAAGCAUAGCCAACAAACCCUCAAUUUUAAAUCAGACAUCAUUACAAUAAGCCAAAUAGGAAAAUCGUUUCAAGAACAACCUUCAAGCAGAAAUCAAUCCCAAGAAAUCCAACCGUAAGCAUAGCCAACAAACCCUCAAUUUUAACAGAGGAAUCAGACAUAAUUACAAUAAGCCAAAUAGGAAAUCCUUUCAAGAACAACCUUCAAGCAGAAAUCAAUCCCAAGAAAUCCAACAAAGAAUGAAAUAAUAGGCACUUGGAUUUGGCCUUAAUGAAAUGCGAAUGUCACAAGAAAUUCAAUUGAAAACACCAAAAACAAGAAGAAGGAAUGUUGAAUUCAACCAAAAAAACAGAAGAAAAUUUCAUUGAUGCAUUUGAUCAAACACCUGGUAGUGCUGAAUCGAACGAACCUGAGAGUUUCUUCAAUCUUGAACCAGAACCUGUCAAAGAGAUGGAGCUCGCCAGACUCAGAAUUCCGGCAAUCUUUACAAGAAUUGACAGCCGAAAGGCCACCGAAGAUCUUUAGAGCAGUUCCACCGGAGGUGGAAUAGCCCAGCACCCAGUCAAAAAACCAGGCUAGGACCCUGUCAAUCCACUCCAGCCCGUGGAAUAGACUAGCACCCAGCCCAAGCCAGUCCACAGGCCGGCCUAAAAUCGACAGAGGAAGGAGACGGCUCAUCUGACUCCAUGCUAACGUCAUGGUCACAUCUCUCUCAUCUGGAACCCAUUCAACGCCUAGAACCCCAUCCCGAUCCUUGGAACCCAUCCCGAUGGAGCGAGCGGGCUUGGAGGCGAGGGGGGAGGUUGAGGUUGUUGAGCUUGAUCUUGCAGAAGCAUGGGGAGAAGGAAGGGUGAACGACGGAGCGAGCGGGCUUGGAGGCGACGGGGAUCUUGAGAGCGAGAUUGCCCACUGUGACCCGCACAAAUGGGCAUGGAUCCAUUUUUCACCAGCAAAAUAAAAUCAAAGGGGGAAAUGCUAAUGCGCCUAUGCCUCUCUCCCUCUCUCCCUCUCUCAGUUGAGUGUUGGGGCAAAUGGUGUUGUUGCUGCCAUUGAUUUCUGGCAAGUGGGAAGAAGAAGAAGGAGAAGAAGACGACAUUAAAAAAUCAAAUUAUUAUUUUAUAGUAAAAAUUAAUAAUAUUUUAAUAAAAUUGACUAGGUUAUUUUUUAUUAGGAGUAGAGAUGUUUUGGUCUAUUACAGUUUACUGUGGUAUAUUACUGUUUAUUUGAGUGGAUAAAUGCCUUGGGUGCUGGCUCAAAAUCUUUAGGGUGGAAUUGCUCUUAACAGUGAAGAAAAGCACAGAUGAUAUCUCAAAGAAGAGAAGGUUAAGAGAUGUACUGUACGUACAUAGCUCGGAGCCCAUUUUAGUUGUCCAUAGCCUGUUUCAGCCGGCCCACCAAGCGGGCUCUUAAGGUAACGGUACCAGAAGCCCAAAGACUAAAGUAUUUUGAACUAUUUCAACGUUUGGGAAAAAAAUUAUUAGAUUAUUAUUGGCACUUCAAAAAUUUAAUUGUGUACUCCACGCUUUUAUAUUUAUAUAUAAAAAUACUAUUAAGAGGAAUACACAAUUAAAUUUUUAGACUGUCAACAAUAAUUUCAAAAAUUAUUAUUGCUUUCGUGAUUGUUACUUGUUUCCCGUAAGUAAAUAAACCAUUUUUCUUAGUGCACAAUGAUUUGGUUAACUUAAUUGUAAAGUACAAAUUAAAAGGUUGUUUUGGCGGAUCCUAUCCGGAUCCUCUUUGUGAGGAUCUCAGGAUCAAUGAAUCAUAAUUGUACGUACAUUCUGCAACCAGUUUUUCUUUAAGACUGUUUGUAUUUAAUUUUAAAUAAAAAACUUCAAAAAUUUUCUGGCCGGUUUCAAGCCAUGCUAUAGUAGUAAACCGGACGUUACGUCGGGGGCAUGGUUCGUCAAGCCAAAUAUUUUUCAUAUGGUGAUUUACUUAUAGCAUCUAGAGGCGCAGGCCUUUUUUAUUUUAUUUUGGACAUUAGUCGAUUGCAGGGAAGGGAAGUAUUUGUCGAAGGAUCGAAACGGCGGAUUGGCGAGAAGCGUGAAAAUUUGGAGAGAUAACUGACUCCCGCCCCUCAACGCCACAAUGCCCUAAACCUGCAAUUGUGAUACCAGGACCUGCUCCAACUUUGUCUACGGCAUCAUUUAUGAUAACGGCAAUCAUCAAUUUUCUUCUAUGAAAUUAAGACGAAUUUGAUAGUUUCAAUCACAUUGUACACGACUCAAGCAUCUUAUCGGCUUAUCUGGCCUUGCAAUAAUUUACUGUUAGAAGUGGGUAUCAUUGCGAUCAUGGAAUUAGUUCCACCACCACAAGGUUGGCAUCUUCUCUGAAACCUCCCACUUGAUUGAGAAUAAGGUAUGGAAGACUAUUCGGAAGAUGAAAGUUGUCCCAAAAAUUAUCAACUACCCUUGGCGGGCUCUCUCCAUGGUGUUACCUUUUUGAAUAGCAUAUUCCAAAGGAAAGUCAUUUCAUGUGAAAUCUGUCCUUUUUGCGACAAGUUUGAAGAGACAGUAGAGCACCUUACCCUCAUAUGCCGAUGGACCUCCCGACUAUGGUUUGGAUCUCCCCACAAACAAUCACCAAUCUUGAUGUGUGGCUGUUGGGAGUUGCAAAAUCUGUUUGUACAUAAGAUAUAGGGAUCAUUUACUUAUCAUGGGGAGGGUUUUAUUUGUGGGAGAUAUGGAAGAAAGAUUCAAUGUUUUUUCAAGAAGAAAAACCUUGAUGUAACAGCUACACUAAGGCGAACCUCUCGCUCUACUGCGGAGAUGAUUGAGCAUCGGUGCAGAGUGACGAGAGAGCUCAUGCCACCACUACAUGAAAUGUCAUUUUGGACCCCUCCCACACCACCUUUUGUCAAAACAAAUGUAGAUGGUGCAUGAAAACCAUUGUGUAAGGCUGCUUUGGGUGUUGUCAUACGAGAUUGUAGAGGGAUCCUACUGGGAGGCGAACACUGCCAUCUUCCCAGACCAUCUAUCGAGGAAACUGAGGCAGAGGCUACGCUUGCAUGAUUGGAAUCAGCUAAAGACAUGGGUCUGCAGAACGUCAUAAUUGAAAGUGAUCAUUCAAAAGUUUUUAUGGAUGUUGUCCUGAAGAAAUCAGUUAGAAGCAUGUGGAGAAUUUAACUCCACCACAAAAGAGAUUUGAAGGUUACUUCAAUUUUUACUCAAGUUUAAUGGAAAUGGAUUCAAAGCAGCAUGAAGUUGUUAGUCUGGGUAUCAAGAGGGUGUGUCUUCAACAGCUGGCCCUCGCACCUCCUCCCUCUCUGGUUUUGGUUGUCAAGAGACGGGGUGUCAUGUCCACCGAGGAAUAUAAAUCAAGGUUAGGCAGAGCUUAACUCUUCCUACUUUUUUUUUGGUGCCUUUGUGGCUAGGUUAAUGAUGCUUCGGUGUUGCAGGCUUUGUGAGGGAACCUGUUGUAUAACGCUGUAUUGCUCUAUUGUUCAUUUAUUCUGCCUUAUCUGUGGUUUAAUGAGAAUCUCAUUUGACAAUAAAAAUCCAAAUAUACCCAUGUUAACAAAACGGAACCACGUCUAGCCAACCUAUGAGCCACCGGCGGAGCCAAUUAAGGCCCACAAGGGUCACUUGACCCUUCUCACCAUCUUAAAAAUGUCUUCUUAUAUGUUAUAUCCAAAGUUUUCAUAUUUGUACUUAUAGUUGACCCUUCUCGCAGAAUAAUAUUUGCCCCAAUAAACAUAAUCUAAUGUCAUCGUGCUUCAUGUGGUCAAAGACUCAAGACAUUUGGGCUUAAAGGUGCGUGACACUUCAUUCCUUGUCUCUAGUCUUUUGAUUUAUUCACAUGUGUAUUGAAUUUAUUUGAUCUUUUUAGUAAAUUUAAAUCAACAUGUGAUACUCUUAUUGUUUGUCUAUCUUUUCGAUCUUUUUUUUUUUUUAUGUUAAAACUUUGGUUAUACUUGUCUUAAAAAAAAUAUUGGUUAUACUUACCAUUAGUAUUAUUAUCAUGUGAUUUUGGAAUGAUGACACAAUUAGGUCGUAAAUUUCAAAUUUGUAAUAUGGGUAAUAAUUAUUAUGAAACCUUGACCAAGUUUAAAGACACUUCCAAACGAAUUUAAAAAAAAAUUGUGAAAGUGAAGAUACAUACAAAUAAGAAAUUAAAUGAACAGAAAAGUGCUAACCCCAAAGUCCCGUUGUUCUUGAAACCUUGACUCGCACGGCACAAUGAUGUUCGUUGGCUUUCUCUGAAACCCUGGACAGACAAUGCCUCUCCCACAGUCCCACUCGCACGGCACCAGUUGUUAAUUUAGAUUUAAAACACUUCAUUCCAUCAAAUAUAAUUUCACCUUCCCCGAAAUACCCCUCAUAAUUAUUAGUAAGAUAUCAUAUAAAAAGGUCGUACCCAAUGCACAAGGCUCCCGCUUUACGCAGGGUCUGGGAGAGGUGAAUGUCCGCUAGCCUUACCCCCAUUUUAUGGAGAGGUUGCUCCCAAGUCUCGAAACCGAGACCUACCGCUCAUGGGCGAAGACACUUGUCAUCGCACCAAAUGCGACCUCUUUAGUAAGAUAUCAUAUAUAGUAUAAUUUUAGUCAUUUAACUUAUUUUUAGACAAUAUUUUGGGUAAUUUUCCCUUGAUCAUCUUCAAGUUUCGCAAAAAUCACACUUUACUAACUGCAAAGGCCACUGGGAAUCUACGAAUUCCCACGACCAUUGCUAGUCACCAGACAUAGGCCCCGUUUGGGAUUGAGGUGAUUUUAAAAAAAGCCACUGUGAAAAAAAGCUGAGGGUCAUUUUUGUGUUUGGUAAACUGAAAAAAAAUGGCUUAUUUUGGAAGCUGCUGUGAGAAUAAGCUGAAAAUCAAAGGAAAAGCUGAAGCUGCUAUUUGCUGCUUUGAAAAAAAGCCAGUUUUUUCAAAGCACACGGAGCUACAGUGCUCCUUUAAUGAAAAGACACACUAUCAUCCUGAUUUUUUUUCCAAAAGCACUUUCACAAAAAAGUUUACCAAACACUCUACUGGCUUUAUUUCACAGCCACUUAUUCUCACAGCACAGCCGCUUAUUCUCACAGCAGCUUUUUUUCAAAGCACAGCAAUACCAAACCAGCCCAUACUCUUGUCAUUGGUUCGGUGCUGGUUUGCACAGCGUCGCGAAUCAUCCAAUUCUUUGAGAGUUUAUAUCAAUGCAUCAAGAUGAAAUGUGGUAGAGGAUGAAGUUGAAUAUUAAACACAAUUUCCCUCACUAAACAUAUCCUUAACAAGAUCUCUAAAUUUGAAAACCAAAAUGCUUGGAUGUGUUAAUGGAUCUUUCAUUGAAAUCCAAUCCAAUCCGAUGGACUUUUGGUCAGUUCCAUACACUUGUUUUUCCUUUCGAGUUCCAUUUCAUACCAUCUAGCAUGCUUUCGAACUAUGAGAAUUGCAAAUAAUUAUGACUGAUGCGAAGGAGUAAUUUCCCAUCCGAAAAAAGAGAACCUCAGAAGCAUUUCCGAUGAACAACAGAUGGUCCAGUUUCAUCGUAGUCUGCUUUUGUUACAUGUUGAUUUUGUGGGAACACAACUUUGGCAAGUAUGGCACCGCCCACCCACGCUGAAUACAUUGAUAAAUUCUCUGGCAUAUACUCUGGAGGCUGCAUUGAACCCGGACCAAAAAACGAUCAGAAGAAGUUGGCAGUCCAGUUAGUACAGAAGAAAUAGUGUUGUGGAAAUGUUAUGUAAAUCAUAAAGUAUCUUGCUCACAUAACGUUCAGUCCGGGUAAUAGAAAGUGAUUCAGUGAUUGCUUACAAGACCAUGCAAUAACAAACCAUAUCCAAAAUUUCAGUACACUGUACACCAGAUCAAUGCAAUUCCUUUUUACUAAUCUACGUUGUAAUAGCACUUUUCCAGUAGAGCUACACUGGUAACAAAUCAACCAAUAAUCUUUCUAUUAAUUAAUGUCAUACAUAAUCAAAUUAGAUGACUUUUUGGUAUCCAGGAAAAGUUUUCAUGUCGAGAAUCACUUCCAAAUCAAUGAACAUGUUAAUCAUUUUAAAUCAGAGUUCAAGGCUGAAGCAUAAAUUCCAUCAAAUAUAACGGUAAAGGUCGUACCCAGUGCACAAGGCUCCCGCUUUACAUAGGGUCUGGGAGAGGUGAAUGUCGGCUAGCCUUACCCCCAUUUAUGAAGAGGCUGCUUCCAAGUCUCGAACCCGAGACCUACCGCUCAUGGGCGAAAGCACUUGCCAUCGCACCAAGUGCGACCUCUUCCAUCAAAUAUAACGGUAGCAUUAAGAAAAUAUAAUCACAGGUACAUGAGCACAAAAAUUUAUGAAUUUCGUAAGCAAAAAGAAUGGAAACGCCAAACACCCAACUGUCUAAGAGAGAAUUAUGAAAAAUUGAUGAAACAAUACAUAAAGACAUCAUAAUCACUCGUUAACGUGUACCAAAUAAGAUAGGGAAAUGCCAUAACAGAAACUAACACAACCUCUGGACUCUGAACUAUAUACAGCCUCAGAAACAAUUAGGAGACCAACUAUAAUUACGUUUGGAGUAUGUGGACCUCAAAUAUUACCUUGGAAGGCUUAUUUCAUAAAGCUUACUAAGAAUUUGUACUUCCGAUACAGGGUUCUGAUUCCAGUAAACAAAUAGGUAUGAUGCAAUGACUCGUGAAGAUGACAUCGUGUGAAAGAAAGUUGACUAUUUCACCUAAUCACUGUCAGAGUUUUUGCCUGGGAAGAUUUGAAAUUCAAACCUAACCCACCCUGAACUCUGAAGCUAAAACCUGAAUGCAGUUUUAAUGGUAAAAUAAAUUACCUUAAUUAAAGCAGGACGAACAGCCGAUGAGCAUAGACCAGCUUCUUUCUGAAACCUUUCUUCAAAACCUGCAAUAAACAGCAAUGAAACUGCCAAUACAAUUACAGAACCAAAAGUUCCUAUUCUUUUGAAACAAGGACAAGUUCAAAUUUCGCCAUGCUCUUAUAUCUGUUGCCUUGUACUGUAAUAUACUUCCAAAGAAGAGUCAUAUAAAAGGAAUUUUGAACCCAAGGAUUCCCAUAACUUGGUGAAUCCAUUUAUUAAAAUGAUAUGGAUGACAAGGAUAAUGAAACCAACCAAAGAAAGGGCUCGCAGACAUUUAUACAAAAGAAGUCAUCUAACAAGAGUAUUCAAGGAAAGAAAAAAGGAAAACAAAGAAGAAAAUAUAUCGUACUAAUUAGUAAUUAUAGUAUCUGAAAGGCACAGGCAUCGGCAACAAUAAACUCACCAGUCAUAGAAGCAGUGCCACCACACAGUACAGUAUUUUCUAGCAACUGCCGGUGAUUAUCAGACGAUACUGUUGAAAUACAACGAACAAGCUGCUCGACAAUUCCAUGAGCCUCUAAACCCAAUAUGGAUGGUUGGAAUAGAGCCUCACCAACAGUAUAUCUUUCUCUUCCAAUCGUAAUAACCUAAACCAAUGACCAGUAUUACAUUAAAGUAACUAUACAUGUAAAGCAUCACAACGGUUUGGGAAAAUGCUGAGUGAUGAAAGAAAACAGGGUGGGAAAGAAGGUUUAAGGAACAGAAAAAGGCUAAGCUUGGAAUAAAUGAUAACUGUGACCUAAAUGCCUUGAGAUGGGAUUGCUGUCAUCUUGCAUUCACAUUUCGAAGAAUAAAAAAGAAAAUGUAAAGUAGGGAUAAAAAAAAUCCACGUUAAAGAACAUAUAUCUAAAGAAUAGAAGUGUUUGAAUGUAAACUAGAUCUUACCUUUAGUAUUCAACAUGUAAGAUUAGAGAAGAUUUCAGUGAGGAUAACUUUCAAUAAACUCGUUAUACAAGUAUAAUUAACACAUAAUAGAUUGAAAUCAAACAAAACCAGAUAACUGCGAUAGGUGCAAGCCAGUUACAGCAUGAAUAAUAGCAAAUUACAGGCAUAAUAUGAUAUACUGAAGUCAACAUAUCCUCCUAACUGAAACAUGCCAAGCAAGUUAUGUGCUAUCUGUGUCUUCUCCAUCUAUCCAUAUCAUAAUUUCAAAAAAUUAACCAUACCUGUCCAUCAGGAAGGGUAUGCUGCUCUAUCUGGCAUGAAUUUUUGGUCUUUUCAUAAGCAAGUUCAUCUUCAGCACAACACGAAUAUUGCUCUUUUAUUUUCUCAAUAUCAGACAUCUUGAUAUUCACUAGAGGAUUGGAUUUCCCAAGCUCUUCAGCAAGUAAUUUCGUCAAAUCAGUACCGCCAAUUUCAAACCUCCUUGAGGCAAUGUGCUGAACAGCACCUUCAAUGACUGGUGCAAUAUCUGUUAAAAUUGGCCAAAAAUGCAGAAAAGGCACAAUAAAAAAAAUCAGUUUGCUUACAUUAUCAUAUACCAUAUUGACUCACUAGCUUACACAGAGAGUCCAAUGCCAUUAACAGGUCAGGUGUGUUAACUAAAACUUGCAAGCUUUAGUUCAGCUACCAAUGCAUCUUUCAUGACCAUUAUCAUCAUAUGGUCACCUAAUGCACACUAUGUAGAUGGUUAUAGCUUGGCAUAGCUAUCAACUAUCAAUAAAAUAUUUCGGUCUUAAUAUUAUUAUUACAAGAUCUGUACAUGGUUCAAAUCACUGGUUGUAUGCUAGAUAGGAUAAACUGAAUUCUGUAUAUAGAUUUAUUAUUUUUAUAUUGCAUAUGACUUGGCAUGCAGUAUAGAAACGAAAGAAUAGCUUAAAGAACUCUAUGUAUUCAAUAAACAAGAUUCCAUUAACAAAUAAAGGUUCCGUUCUGCAAGGUAUAUAAACCUAUUUUUCCAUGGCCAAUAUCAACAGUGCAUCCCGAGAUGCGUCCUACAGCAUAAAGUGACAAUACUGCUUGCUCUGAUGCAUAGAAGCCCGAAAUGUUAAAUGUUUCAAACAUCAGUUGCACCAACUGCUCUCUGACAGCCUGGGAGAAAGAAAAAAAUUAAUUUUUUUAAAGAAAUAUAUAUUAGCUGCACCAAAACAAAAAGGAGUUAUGUAGAACCUGCAAGUUAUAAUUCUAAGAUUUGUCUCUCUAGAGAGAUAACAAGGUUUCCUUACUCCUUACAAUAUUUUUCUCUCUAGUGAAAUAAUGUCAGAAACUGAUUCACAACACACAAACUUGAGGCUACAUAAAUUUAUUUUUAAAUAUAAUUAAACAAGAAUACGCAAGAACAUUUAUAAAAUCAUGAUCUGAAAGUUUUAACUUAGACAGUGUGCUCAAUGGAAGCAGCCUACACUUAUAACAGAUAAUCCAUUGACUUGUUAGAAAUUUAUUUUUAAAUAUAAUUAAACAAGAAUACGCAAGAACAUUUAUAAUAUCAUGAUCUGAAAGUUUUAACUUAGAUAGUGUGCUCAAUGGAAGCAGCCUAGACUUAUAACAGAUAAUCCAUCGACUUGCUAAGUAAACUAUAUACAAAUAAUAAAAACCGCGAAAAUAACCACUGUGAUUAUUUUCAGCCAAAAAUUGCAUAACGACCUAUUAGCUAACCUUGGGAGUACAAAGUGGAUCAGUAAAUAGUAUCUGCCCUUCAUUUCCCAUUUCCCAUCCAAGGCCAGUAUAUAGAACAUGAUGCAACAGGUCUUCCAUGGCAUCCCAGUCAGUAAUAAGACCUCGCACAACUGGAUCAACAAAGAUAUCUUCAAGUGAUGAAUUAUCAUUCAUUGACCCAUCAUCAGGCACGCGUUUCAUUUGGUUAGGAAUUAUCUGAAGCAUAUGACAGAACAUAAAUGUUAAAGAAAAAUAAAAAAAGAAAGAAAUGAGUAUUAAAUUACAGCGAUAUCAUCAGCUACUUCUGGAUUAGUCAAAUCGAAUUUUCAUUAUGUACAAUGCAACCAUCAAAUUAAGUAUAAGAGAGUCACUUCUUCCUUUCCAAAUAUGCAAUUUUAGAUAGAAAUGAUUUUCAUGGUAAAGUCCAAGAAAAUUGUUGGUCUUUGUUUCCAAAGAAAGAAAAUUUGCUUUUCUGAUUCUUAUAUUCAAAUUAAAACAAAACUUUACCAUGAAAACAUUCACCUUUAUUGUUUUGAAAACAAAAUUUUCUCUCUUUUUGCUGAAUAAAGACCAAUCGUGACCUGAAAUUCACUAUUUGAUUGAUUUUCUUUUCUUCAGACUUCCCAACACCCAAGGAUUAAUUGAAAAGUUGAGAGCAUAUCAAGCACAAAUUACCUUGAAAUUGAAUAGAGACAAAAUCAGCUGGAAACUGAAUACUACUACUCUUUUACAUACAAUAAGUAAGAAGUAUUUGCAAAGGUCAAUAUCAAUGUCUCCAUAUGGGCCAUAUACAACUUCCACAAAAACAAAAUUAUACUAGAAUACAACGAAAAUGAUGUGCAAAUUCAUUAUUUAUGACAGAAAGAGUCAACUGUUUUUUCAGCUCUGGUUCUGGAAUACAUUUUUAAUAUUGUUGAGCUGGAAAAAGGAGUGCAAACUGCAAAGGCAUCAUUUUUGUGCAACUUCAUAAGAGUUAAAAGUAGGAUAGGAGGAGAGAUAUACAUUUGAUAACACGAGAUUGUUGGGAAGGAGGGAAAUGAAAGUAAUAGUAAGAAUCAAUUGGAUGUGUGACAAUGUACAAAUUACAAUUAUCAUGCCAACGUUGUUCUGGAAUAUAUAGUUUGGAAAGUUGAGAUAUAUUAAGAUUCCCAUCAGACCAAUAACAGCAAGAGUUAUUUUACCAACAGCGUGCAUAUGCAUGACGAUAGCCUUCAGAACGCAAACUUGAGUGACACAAUCAUCUACUCAACACACCCUAACACAACCAUAAAAGUUUCAUUUCCUACCAGAGCAAAAACAAAAUUAAUGAGAGAACUCCUAACAACUUAUGAGUAACAAGAGGAUAUCCAUGCCACAGGGGUGCAGAAAAAAAAAAUAAAUAAAUAAAAGAAAAAAGAACCCUCAUAAUUUAAUUCACUGUUCUGCUGAAAUAUUAAUUGGACCUACAGAAAACUACAAUUUUCCUUCUCUUUCUCACAACUUUCCCAGAAACCAAACAGGUUCUACCCCCCAAGCCAUUGCUACUAAAUUUUCCAACUAAAGUUUCCGACUUUAAGAUAUCAAAACAAAUCCUAGCUGGCCCCACGAAAGUCUAAACCAACAAACAAUCCCAAGCUUUCACAUUUGGAAUUUUCCAUUUUUCCCAAAAAAGCAAAAAAAAAUUCCCAAGCAACCAAACAGAAAAUUACAGCAAGGAUAAAAAAAAGGUCUUAAAGCUCGCCUCUUUGCUUUCAUAAAUAGGAAGCGAGACCAAGAAAUUGAAGCAUAUGUUGUGAUAAUUACCAUGGAAGGAGCUUGAUCGGGAAUGGCGGGUCCUGCCUUCAGGAGCUUGGAGCCGGCAUCGACCACAACAGCCUCCAUUCUGGUAUCUUAAAACCCUAACCCUAGAUUUUGAACAGACAAAGGGGAUUUAGCUGAGCAUUUGAAAUGUAUAUAAGCUCUCACUAUUGAAGUUUAAAGAGACUAGUACUCCCUUUACCCGUUUUCUCUGUCUGCAAGCAGGCAACCGCGAUGCCUGUAUUUUUCAAAUUUCACAAGAUUGUGGAAGGAACGGUAGGAACCCUCUCUUCUUUUUUUCCUUUUUUUUUAUUUUUCCUUUUCUAUUAUUUAUUUUUGUGGGAUCUGAUGGACAAGAAGAUUGAUAUGUGGGACCGGCACAUUUGGAUCUUGACACGUGUAAGUAAAAAAUUCAUUACGAAUUAGCAAAAUAUGAUGGUAGCCAAUAUCAAUAUGGAUUGGAGAUGGGCCCGAUUCAGUCAUAUGACUUGAAAUCAAUACGGAUAAAAUGCGUGCACCUAUUUUGGUACUAAAAUUUUGGUAACUAUUCAAAACAUGACUAAUCAAUCGUAUUCAUCUAAAAAUUAAAAUUUUAAUAAUAUUAAUUAAACAAUUAAACGAUUUAUAAUUUGAUUGAAUUAUGUGCAGAGUUAAUAUGUAAAAAAUAACCUAAAAGUUAGAUAGGUUUUUUUUAUCAAACAAACACUGCAAAACGAAGAGGAGCCCUUUGUUUAGUUUUAAAGUAAGAUAAAUUUCCUUUGCAAAGAUGUUAAUGAAUGCAUAAUGUUUUUCUAAUUACUAACAGUAUGUUUGGAUGAAGAAAUUUAAGAUUAUUAGGAAUUUUAAAAUGACGGAAAUUGAAAUGACAAGAUUUUAUUUUCUAGAAUUUGUAAAUUUUCUUGUUUGGUUAAUAUAAAAGAACAAUGGAAUUGAAUACUGAAUUUGUUAUUUUUAAACUCUAAAUCAUAGAAAUUGGGAAAUGACACCUAUUUACAUGGAAUUUGAACUUGGGAAUUAGAGGUCCCAAAUUCCAAGUUUUUUUUUCCACGCGGAAAUUCUAAAUUUCUAUGUUUAUGAAUCCAAACAAGAGAAUUAGAGCAUGUCAAUUUAUAAAUUCUGAAUUUUUUCAAAAUUCCAAGUUUAUUUCCCUCAUCCAAACAUAGUGUAAGAGAAGGAAACAAACCAAACCGACCAUACAGAUGCAUUUGGUACGGUUAUUCAGUCUGCGGUUUGAAUCCUAACCCGAACCAACCGCACCUUGCCCAGCCCUACAAAUGUAUCUAUCAAUUUUGGUUUAUGAGUAAUGAAAGAGAGGAGAGGAGAAACAGACAAUCAGUAGAUUCAGUAGCUCAAAUUUAUGUACAUAUCAACAAAGUUGUGGACAGACUUAUGCACUAUCAAAUGAGACUUGCUGCAAAUGUCUCAUGGCUAUUGCAUGUAUGGUCACCCCACAGGCUUGAAGGUCCUCCGAGACUAUAUAAGUUCAUGUCCACAGAAAAAUUGCCAUCGGGGGGGGGCACCAACUGGCUCCCCAUCCUCAACCAAAAUCAAAUCGCAGCCCUCGGCGCCAAUAGGGAGCACGUCAUCACUUUCCUUGAAAGCAGGAGCUUCGGUCACUGAUUCUGGAAACUCAGCUAAAAGGGCUUCCAGAGAAAAAUCGCAACUGUCCUGAGAAGUGAAUUUAGAACCGGAAUUUCAAAGUCCACCACAGAAGCAGCAUGUGAAAAUUCGAGGAUAUUCUUCAAAGUAUCUUUGUGGGAAUUCUCUUUCUGUCACUUCCUUUGGAAGAGUUAAAUCAGAAUCUCGAUCAGCAUCUUCCUCCGUGUCAUCAUAUCCAUCAUCAGUCUGACGUUGAGGCAACUGGUUUUGAACAUCGGUGUUAUCAGGGUCUGGCGUGUUGCUUAUCUCAAUGCUGACAUCUCCAUUUUCGAUAUCUUCAGUUAUCUGACAAAAAUCAGUUCUAGACAUGCCACCAUUGGCUGGAUCAACUGCAUUCUCAAUGCUCUUGUAAUCAUCAAGUGUUUCUUCUUCUCCACCCUCAGAAUGCUGGUCCGGCCCAUCGACUCUGAGUGAUUGAUCAGUGUGCUCAUCAUUAGGUGAUCUUAUCACAUUCCCCUCACCAUCUGAAGAACUUUUCGUCAAAUCAGCAAGUGAACCCUUUAUGUAUUCUGUCACAUCAGUUUCACCAAGGCACAUGGAAGAAUAUGUGCCUACUUCAUGUUCCUCUCUUGUCAAUUCUUUCCUCUCAACGUUACCAUCUUCUUCAUUUAAAACAUCAGGAGCUUUAACCGAAAGAGUUUGAGCAUCAUCAAUUGUCAAAGCAGGCCUUGGUUUUUCUGAUGAACCUAUCACUACUUCUGAUCCAUGAUCUUCGCUGUCCUCGUCAUCCUCGUCAUCAUCACCAUUAAAAAAUUCAGGAGCAGUUACUACCAGACUUGGAAGCGAAUGGGUGGAAUUUACUGAAGCAGACAUUUCAUAAGCUGUGAUCAGGGGUGCAUCUGGUUGAAUGUCCUUACCUGAUUCAAAUGCCUCACAACUGUAGUAAUCAUUUCCACUAUUAUAGCAAGAGUUAGACUCAGACUCAUUGCAUGAGAAAGAAGAAGCGUAGAAUCUUGUGCAUGUUGGCAAUCCAGAAUUCUGUGAUUUGUUCGCCAGUACUUCAAGUUGCUGCUCUACCCUUUCAAGCCUUGCCUCAAUCCUGUUUAUCGGUUUUAGCAUCUUUUCUUCAAACCUCAAAAACAGAUCCUCUAUUCUGCCCAUUCGAGAAUAAAGCUGGUCCACAUCGCUUUCAACUCCUGACGGGAUACAUACCUGGGCAGUACUAGUACUAGCCUUAUUAAAAUCUGGAAUCUUUACUUCUUGGUGAUCAGGUAUGCUGGCUUUUCCUCGUUCCUGAAUCUUAGUUGCAACACUGGUAGAAUCAGUUUCUUUUGACCCAGUCGCUAGAGAGUUCUGUUUUCCCCAUGUAUCAGAAAUUGGCUUGUCCUGUGUUCGGUUAGCACCCCUUGUUUUAGAGAAUUGCAAAAGGGUAGGCACAAGCAUGGCCAUUAGAGAACUCCCAGCUGAGUUUUCCACCGCACUAACUUGGUUCUCUGAAUCAGAUGAGUCCACAGGAUCAGCAAACACAUAAACCUCACCAACACAUACACAAUCUUUCCCCUCAAGCGACAGUAGAUGAAGUGUGAGGGAUACACAAGGACUUGCAUCACUAAUCUGUGCUGUAGCUUCAUAAAAAUCCUGAUACACAAGGACUUGAUCAGCAAGCACCAUAUAAAGAAAUUAACUAGACGGGACAAAAAAAAGAAGCGAAAGAAAAACAAAAGUGGGAGGGGGUUCACUGGAAUUAAUAUACAUGGAGAACUAAGCAACAUACCUGUGCAGAUCCCAACUUCAAUUGCGACAAAUUGAUUUUGUUAUCAAGCACUUUAGUAUCUAAGACUUUCACUUCAACACAGUCAUCUUCACUGUUGUUCGGACUAUUUCCAUUUCUUGACUUAGCUUCGGAUGGGUCCUUAAGCGACUCAUUUGAAUUUGCAGGACAAACUUGAUCAUUAUCACCUGUGUGAAGCAUUUGUUCAUCUCGGGCAGCAAUGCCACAGAGAACAGUGCAGAGAUAUUCAUUGCCACUCUGUAUAUCAGGUGCAUAGUAUAUCUCAUAUUCUCGGGCAGUACUUCGAACAUAAACCUGCUGGAUAUCAUGUUUUUGUGUGAAAUUAACUGCAGUGGAAAACGUUGUUGGUCAAAUGCACUUUAGAUACCCAACUAUUAACACAAGUUACACAACCCUUGGUAACACUUUGAGCUCCAACAGCUAUUACUUCUACUUUUAGCAACCAAGUGUCGCUUUCGUAGAUGAACUCAUAGUACACUGCAAAAUCCUGUUUUUAUCCUCGUUUUCGAGUACAAGAUUGCCCCCUACGAUGCAUGGACACAGCAGUAUCUCCUCAUAUCCCGUGUCCGGUCGUAUAGUGUCAUAUCCCUGGGUCCGUGUGUCCAUGCAUCGUAGAUUGCCCCUCUAUUUAGCUUUGUUUUCAUCUAAAAUUUGGCAAUAAUCCUAAUCCUAAUCAACCGGUCCCAGAAAUUAUUAACUUUUAAGUCAUAACGUACAAUAAUAAUAUAUAAAGGACCAUGAUUUAUAUAAAAAAAAAAAAAGAGAGGGUGUCAAACUCAAAUUCAAUAAAAUUUGGCGCCGAAAUGUAAAGUUUUCAGAGAAGAGAAGUUGUAGAGCAUACUGGUGAUCUCGCAAGGGCCCGAAUCGGGUGACGGAGGGUGCAGAAUAAGAGUGGAUGUAGGUGUGGAAUUCGGAGUGUCGUCGUCGAUCAGAGAGGAGGAGGAUUCGAAGGAGACGCAAUUCGUGAGGGAACCACCUGCAACGGUCCAUGUUGUGGCGGAGGUCCACGAAGAGGUGGUGUCCAGGUUGUCGAUCCCGUCGUCGUGUUUUUCCAUGGUGUUUUGGUUUGUCUUCUGUCGUGUGAUAAGCAAGAGACAGAGUUGCUUAAUGGAGAAGUAGGAGAAACAAGUGUGAGGUAAAGUCGUUCUUUUAAGGAAUUUUCUGGCUUAAGUCCUAACUGAAUCGCAUUCUUAAUCAUUAAGAAUUUUAGAUGUACAGAGAAUACGUACAAGAUGAUGAAACAUAAAAUAUUGAGUAAAUUGUAGUAAUACUCUUUCAAUUUUAAUUAAAUCAGAACAAUAUUUUUUCAAUUAAAAAUUCAUUACCAUUAACCUCAACUCAUCAAAAUGUGUAGUUAUGGUCAUUUUCGUCAACUCCGUCAAAAUUCUAUCAAAAUGAGUUAUGUUGGAAUGACUAUUGCUACAAUUAGGGUAAAGUUGAGGGAUCAUUGCUCCAAUUGAGUUAAAGUUGAGAGACCAUUUAUCCGGUUGGAUUAAAGUUAAGGGAUCAUUAAUACAAUUUUUCUUAUUUGAUUUUUCAUAUUUGCCCCUUAAUUAAGUCUCACGUGCAUGACAUGUGACCCAUUUAGAUGGAAGUUCUAAAAGAGUUGACGAAAAUUACCAUAACUGCACGUUUUAAUUAAUUGAUAGAUCUUUGCUACAAUUUACUCUAAAAAUAUUUUAAACAAAACUAAAAAAAAUAAAAAGUUACAAGUAAAAAAUAAGAUGUAAAUAAACAAACUGUCACACGCUUGAGUUUGUAUCAGUUUUUCUUUCAAUUUUUAUUUUGGAAUUAUUGUGAAGUCAUUAGUUAAUCAUUUAUGUUUUAAACUCAUCUAAUUCGUCCUUUAUAUUGACUUACUCAUUAGUUGCUCUUACCAUCUAAUGUUGUUACCGUAGUAAUUUUGUUAGUUGGAUGAUUUAUUAUGCAUAUGGGCCCACAAAGCCAAUAAUAUUGUCCCACACCGGAGAGGUUCUUGUGUACGUACAAAAUUAGAUUUGGGUGGGUGUGAGAGAGAAGGUGGGAUCAGGGGAUGUAGUGGGCCUCAAAAUCAGGGGGAGGAUGUCGUGUUUCAAGUGUCUUUGGUAGGAGGAACUACGUGGUCCAGCUUCCAAACCAUAUAAUUUCUACUCAAAUUGGUUUAUAAAGAGAUAAUGAUUAAUGAGAAAUAAGAUUAAAAUGUUUAUGUUACACUUGCCGACGGUCACAUUUACUACAAUUAUUUUGCCGACAAUUAUCACGUGACACUUCAACCACAUUGUUGCCGUCACCACUUCAUAUGACCACUUUAUCAUGACCAUAUUAACCAUUUCAAAUGAUAAAAAAUUUAAAAAUAGCAAUGUAUGUUGAGGAAUUAGUCAUUAAAAUAUUCAUGACAAUUAAUAGGAUUCUAUUUAAAUCCAUGAUAAAAGUUUCACAAACUCCAUUAAAAUCCUUGUAGAAUUCAAUCAAAAUCCACAUGGAUUCUAUGGAAAUCAAGUAAACUCCCUUAAAAUCAAUGUAUUUAUAACUCUAUGGAAAUAUAUUAAACUCUGUAUAAAAUACACCCCUUACUUUAUCUCUCGUAAUAUGUCAAAACUAGGAUAUUGUUAUUCACACACUCAUUUUACUUUCACACGCUCUUGUUAACUUUGAUCAUUGAUCUUCUUCAAUUCAUCUGAUCCGACGAUCAAAAUUUGAGAAGUUUGUGAAAUGUAAAAGUGGGUCUGUAGAUAAAAUUACCCUAAGGGUAUCCAUGAACUCAUUCAUUAACUUUCCGAUAGAAAUUUCAGACUAAUCACAAGCUAACUGCGGCAUGAAAUUUUUUCUAUAAAAGCAAUCUUUGCAGGGUGUCCCUCGGAUACAGAGCUCAAAAAUUUUUACAUUCUCAUUAAUUAGUUGAACCAUGCAAGCACGGUGUGCCUCUCAUAAGGUCUAUCAAAAUGCAAGCGUACUUGUCUUGUCCUUGCUCAAAUUUCAUCGUCAAAUCUAUACCACCUGAACACAUCUUCAUCAGCAGCUACCCCAUCCUCACACAUAUCACAUAUCAAUGUUGGACACAGAAGAAACUUACUGGAGCCCUGAAGCUUCUGCAGUGAUUGACUCGCCAAGUUGUUCGCAUAUAUAAGAGUAGCCGGGAUGCUCAGAGUCCUCUAUAAAGGUACAGUGAGCGACAUUUAGCACUUCCAAAUCCUCCAUCCUACUCAGAAAUUAGUUCAUUAAUUAUUUGAACCAUGCAAGCAUGGUGUGUCCCUCAUAUUGUCUAUCAAUAUGAAAGCGAACUUAUCUUGUCCUUGCGCCAAAUUUCUUCGUCAAAUCCAACCACCUGAACACACUUCAUCAGUGGUUAGUUCAUCCUCAGACUUAUCACACAUCAGUGUUGGACACAGAAGAAACUUCUGCAACCACGAGGCUUGUGCCGUGAUUGACUCGCCAAGUUGUUUGCAUAUAUAAGAGUAGUCGGGAUGCUCAGAGUCCUCUCUAAAGAUAGAGUGAACCGUUGUACCCUUUAGACUUAACACCUUAAGCUUUUGGGUGUAGGCAACAACAGCCCUUGCGCAUACUUCAUGAAACUCAAAAGGGCACAUAACUUUUGUAUAGUAGCUACCAACCAGCUCCAUGAUUUGAUCAAAACAUACAAUCGGGUUCCAGGUUGGUAGAACAAGCUUUUUGAGGCCAAGGGUUCCUUUGGCUGCAUCACGAUGGAGCUCUCUCGUGCGUCGUUCUCUCAUGACACUCAUUCCUACAAUAUAAGAAGUGCUUCUAAGGUUUAGGUGCGCAAAUGAGUGUGAAGAAUGUAUGAUGUACUUGAUGUAUUAUGGUGAAGGCUUGUGAGGCAUUUUAUAGAAAACUUGAGUGAUAAAAUUGGUGUUCGUAAAGAAGUUGGUUUAGUCACAGACAAAAUGUUCACCUGAAAUGACAUAGAAAGUGUUCAUCAGUUUCAUGUGAAAUGACAAAGGAAAUUACACAUGCAUAUAUCAGUUACAGAAGUUUCACGUGAAAUGACAGACAAAAUUUUCACCGGUUUCACAUAAAAUGACAUAGAAAAUUACACAUGCAUAUAUCAGUUACAAAAGUUUCACGUGAAAUGACAGACAAAGUGUUCAUCGGUUUCACGUGAAAUGACAGACAAAGUGUUCACUGGUUUCACGUGAAAUGACAGACAAAGUGUUCAUCGGUUUCACGUGAAAUGACAGACAAAGUGUUCACUGGUUUCACGUGAAAUGACAGGAAAUUAUACAUGCAUAUAUCAGUUACAGAAGUUUCACGUGAAAUGACAUAGGAUUACACAUUCAUAUAUCAGUUACUAAAGCUUCAUGUGAAAGUUACACAUGCAUAUAUCAGUUACAGAAGUUUCACGUGAAAUAACAGACAGUUUUCACCAAUUUCAAAUGAAAUGACACACAAAGUUUUAUCCGGUUUCACGUGAGAUGGUACAUGAAAUUACACGCGCAUAUAUCAACUACAAAAGUUUCGGGUGAAAAUUAUUAAUAUGGUAAUUAAUCUACAUGAAUAUGACAACGCAUUCAUUUUUAAAAUAGUGAAUAUGGCCAGUUUUCCCAAGGUGAAGGAAAAAAAAAACAAUGGGCGUAAAUAGCGAACAAAAAUUAUAAUGACCUCUAAUUUAUUUUUUAUUAUUCUUUUUUUUUAGAACUCAAAAUGCACAGAUUGUCAAAUUCGGUCCUAUCAAAAUAUAAUGGUCUCAAGUUUUAAUUUUCAGUUAUAUGAAUAUAAAACGCAUAAGUUUGGCUCAGUUAUUCUUAUUUACUUAUGAACUCAAAAUUCACACAUUUCAUCAUUUCGAAACAUAUUGGCUUCAUAUUUUAAUGUUUUCAUUGCUCUUUUUCCUUGUGAGCUCAAAGCCUCAAACCAUAAAUAUUCGUCCUUACCAGAAAAUAAUGGCCUUGAUUUUUAAUUUUUUAUACUCUUUUUCUUCAUAAACUCAAAAUUCAAAUAUUUGGUCUUAACGAAACAAUUAUGGCCUCGAAUUUUUUUUUAUAUAAUUUUUUUCCUUAUAAACUCAAAACACACAUAUUGACACUCCCCGAUCCUAGAAUCAAGGCGUGAUGAGAAGUUCUCGUGUGAGUUCCCAGAAACAAAACCGUGAGGGCGUGGUCAGGGCCUAAAGCGGACAAUAUCGUGCUACGGUGGUAAAGUGGGCCCGGGAAGUGGUCUGCCCCAGGCCGGGAUGUGACACAUAUUCGGUCAUAUCAAAACAUAUUUUCUUAGAUUUCAAUUACUCUUUUUUCUUAAGAAAUCAUAACGUAUAGAUUUGUCCUUAUCAAAAGUUCAGAAGUAGUUGCUUUUAAUUUUUCAGUUUUUUUUUUUUCUUAUAAAUUCAAAAGCCAUAGAUUUACUGUUAUCGAAACAUUGCCUCCCUCUCAUGGCAUCUUUCUUUGGUCGAAUCUGAACUUCAUCACCACUCCUAGAAAAACUAAAGGUUAGUGGUGAAGAUGGUUCAAACUUCAAACUUUAUAUUUCUUUGGCUCAAAAUAAAAUUUCAGUUUCAGAACGUGGCUCUUGAAACGAAUCAAAACGCCACGGUCAAAAAUUGUGAUGUCCAAAAUUGAUUAGUUAAAAAAGAGCUCACUUUGAAGAGUCUCAAAUUGAUAGAGCCCAAGUGGGGAAAAACUAAAAAGGCAACAAAAUUUUCUUGAAUGCUAUUUAAUUUUCGAAGAGACUCGAUUUCCAUGAUAGAGUGUACUUCAAUGUAGCCCUAGUUUUUAGCGUUAAUUUGACAAUACAAAAUUUCAAAAUAAAAGUGUCCAUGAGACAUUUGUAACAUCUCAUAUCGACUAACGUAGAGGAGGUGAUGUGCCUUAUAUGUACAUGCUCAUCUCCAUAUAGUACGAGGCAUUUUGAGAACUCACUGGCUUUGGAUUCCAUAAGAACUCCGAAGUUAAGCGAGUACGGGCGAGAGCAUUCCUAGGAUGGGUGACCCACUGGGAAGUUCUCGUGUGAGUUCCCAGAAACAAAACCGUGAGCCCGUGGCCGGGGCACAAAGCAGACAAUAUCGUGCUACGGUGGAGCCGAGACUGGGAUGUGACAGAAUGGUAUCAGAGCCACUCUGCCGUGUGGUGCGAGUGUCAAGCCCCUAAGGAGGGUGGAUUGUAACAUCCCACAUCGACCAAUGGAGAUCGUUGUUUUUUGAACGUUUAAACAUGAAUUAUAAGAUAUUUUGCACUUGAAAAUACAUUUUGUAGAAUAUGAAGACAAUAAUUUGGUGUUAUGACUAGAAAAGACUCUCUCUCUCCUCAAUUUGUUUAGAUCAAAAUUUAUUUAGAUUUAGGUUUUAUAUCGUUGUUUUUUGAACGUUUAAACAUGAAUUUUAAGAUAUUUUGCAUUUGAAAAUAUAUUUUGUAGAAUAUGAAGACAAUAAUUUGGUGUUAUGACUAGAAAAGACUCUCUCUCCUCAGUCCUCCACCAAUACUGAAAAAUAUAUUUAUGUAAUUAACAAAACAAAACAAAAAUGACUCUCCUGUCUUAAGAGACGAGUGGCAGUACGGCCCCAACUUUCCUUGAUGGGGAAUGGUAUCAUCGUACCGUUCGCUCCCUAUUCUAAUUUUUUUUUUUCUUUUAUCUUUUUUCCUUUGAGGUUUUUUUAGGGACCACCACGGCUUCUCUCUUCUCGAGAAACCAUAUAUCCCUUAUCGAUAUAGGGACAAUUAUCUCUCAAGCACAAGUUUAGGUUCGGCCUUAGAUCAUCUCCAACCGAAGGGUUCAGAUAGUCAGAGGGUCGAAAAUAGUCCAAAAAUCAUCUACAACCGAGGGUUAGGCCAAAUGGCUCGUGGGCCUCGCGGAAUCUGAACGAGCCAGAGGGCCAACCGGCUGACCAUCUUCAACCAGCUCGCUGGCUAGCCAAUUUUGAUUUUUUUUUCCUUCCACUUGCCCAGCCCAGUUUCUUUUUUGUUCUUUCAGCCCACUUUAGGGCUUUCAGUUUUUGGUCCCAGACCAGUUUUAAAUUUUUUUGUGAACAACCCACUUUUUUCUUUUGUUUUUUUGGAUUUUUUUUUUAAUUUCUAAUUUUUUCUACACCAUUUCUCACAUAUUUUUUCAUCAUUUCAUACUAUACAUUUCAUAUUAUAGCCCUUUGCCCUUCGUGUGGAGAUGAUUUUUUGUGACAGGGCUAAAAUGAACCCUCUGGCUCUUUGGCUCUCGGUUGGAGAUGGAGGCAAAUAUGACUAUGUACUGUUCAUUAAAAUAGUAAUAUCUUGGAGGGUCAGAGGGCUAAAACAGAGCACCUAACAACGUAUCUUCAUAGACCAAGAACUACAAGAUCGCCCCUUUCUUACGUUACUUUAUUUGACUUCGUUCUUUUCUUGUUUUUUUGUUUUUGGGAUGUUUUCUACAAAAGUAUAUAUUAUAUUUAUGUAUAGUAUGUUAAUUCUAAUUAUGUCACAUUUCAUUCACAUAUAUACAUAUAUGUUUUUUUUUCUUUUUUUACAUUGAAUCUCUUAAAAAAAUGCGUGUAAUAGUUAUUUCGUAAAAACUUUUAUCAAUAAUCAGUAAUUAAUAUAAACAUAAUUAUAAGGAAUAUAACUUGAUAAGAUAUCGAAACUCAAUACCGCACACAGAUUUAUUCCCAUUGUGUUUUCAUAAGUUAUGCUAGAUCUUUCCUCUUCAUUUACAAAAGGGGUCCAAGACUGGCUUGUUUUAUACAUGAUACGAACAAACAUUUCUUAAUCUAUUGCUUCAGAUUUUGAAUUACGUUGAAGAUUGAAAAAACGAUGCAAAGUUCGGAGACAUCCAAUGACCAAGAUGAAGCAGAACCUGGUGAUAGAUCUGAAGAGCUUAAAUCAUAUGCAGUUCUCAAAAAUCGUAUCCAUGAUUUACUAAUGGUAUAUAUUAAUUUUCAUGGCUCCUCUAUUCGCUUUUUAUUUUUGUUACGUUAGUUUUUCAAGUUUUAUCUAUAAAACUAACCCACUUGCUGACACUCUUGUUGGAGUUGGACAGGCGUUGUCGGAUCCAAAUCAAUGAAAACAUCUGUGACAUUACCAAAUAAUUGGAACCCAGGAUGUGGACGCUAAGACAUCUCAAUAUAUCAUCAGUUCCAUUACGGAGACCAAAACAAGAACUUACACUUGCUUUCAAAGCUGGAUCCUGUGGAUGAGCCUGAAAUCUCAAGAGAUGGAGACAGAGAACGCCCUACUGGCAAAGUAUUGCAGGCAUUUCCAGAAGAAACCAAGUUUUUGUUGAAUAUAGGUCCCGCAUCGGGAAAUUGAGAAAAUACUAGAAUAUAGUAUAUUAGUGUAUGGUUCCACUCCUAAUAACACCGAAAAAUUUUGUGAUGAAAUUCAACACCUAGCAAUAGGUGAUUAAGUUGAGACAAUAUCAGUGUGGUUAGGGGUGGAUCAGUGACCUGUCUCUCUGAACAUCCGACAGUUUUAUGCCCACUGCAAUUCUAUUUCUGACUGUUAUCCCAUUGUGACUGCAACCCUCAAAACUCAAAACAAAACAUGUCAUUAAAUCUCAAGGGUUUUUUUGCAUAUUCAGAGAAGGUACAAAUAGAUGACUAUAUAAUGUCAUGCAUAGUUAUACAGAGAAGCUAAGCCUAACUGUCUUCAAUUGCAAAAAUGACCCUUUUUCCGUCUUUUAGUAAAUCCAUGAGGAGGGGAAAGUGCUAUAAUCUUGUGCCUUCGCGAGCUGUAGAUAUCCAACAUCACUGCGAUAUCAGCGACGCGGAAUAUAUCUCCCCAGCCCUCCGCAUCUGUACAGGUGAAAGUUGUUUUCUGCACCACACACUUCAUAUAGAGAGAAUAUCGCUCCACCACUAGUGAAAGUAGAUGAUGCAGACCACCUCCAGCUUUGAACAACACUUUUAACAAGUUUCUUACAGACGAAGGGACAAGAACACGCAAAUGUGUCGUACAGCCCACUGUGCAGAGGAGCAAACGGUUGACAAUGACGUCAACAUGCAACUGCAACUGCGGCAUCUUUUUCAGUUUGUAAGUUGUCAGAGUCAACGGGCAAAGGACUCUUCUGGAACUUGUUUCUUAGCUGACCACAUGCUGCAUCUGCAUCCAAGCCCCUUGUUUGACGAGUGCUGACCGUUACUUUGUUGUUCUCCAGAGCAGCUGCAAAUGCUUGUACCUACCAAAUAAAAUUUUGUCAGAAACCACAACAAAUCAGGUGAAUAAAACAAGAAUUAAACUAACAGAAAAGCGAAAAUUGGAUCAAGUAUAGAGGUGUUUAUGCUUGAAAACAAAGUUACAUACCGCUUUCUUGGAUGGACGUUUAUACUCAGAGCCUUCUAUUGGAUUAAAUGGUAUCAAGUUCACAUGAGAACCUCGUCCCCACUCAUGGAGUAGCUCUGCAAGUUCUACUGCAUGGUCUACCGCAUCAUUAACUCCAGCUGCUCAAAACAAAAAUCAUUGUCAGGUUGUUAAAGUAAGCAUACAGGGAUCAAAAGAGACGAACAUAAUUUUUCUAAAUCUUAUUUCACUACCUAAGAGUGCAUACUCAAAGGAAACCCGUCUACCGGUUUCAGUGAAAUAGUCCCUGCAAUCCCUCAUCAGUGCACUCAGAGGGUAUGCUUUUGCACUUGGCACAAUUGUUCCCUCAGCUUCUGGUUAGGAGCAUGCAGGCUGAUGCACAAUAAUAUGAGAAACGCUUAGCAAGGAUUUAACUUCAGAACGCUUCCCCUUUUUUUUUUUUCUUUUUUUUUUCUGAACAAGCAGUUCAACAAAAUGCUCUAAUAAAUACAAAUAACUCAUUCCCAUUUAAAAAUAACAUACCUGACAGCCAAUGUCGACUGAAGUUUGUGAGAUGCCAGCCUUUUAAUUGUAUUUGGAACCCCCACGGUAGAAAUUGUGAUCAUUCUUUGCCCAAUUUGAAUAUCCUGUAGAAAAUAAAGUCCAACAUAAAUAAGUUUCACUCAGAUCAUAAUGUUAACAAUUUUAUAAAAUAGCAUUCCGCUUUAAUACUAGUAGGUUUCAUGUCACAAGGUCAAACUUCUUGAUUCUAUAUAUUAAACAUGGAACCAAAGCAGCUAUUAAAAAGCACAAGAUAAAGUUGCAAAGGCACCUUGUUUAGACACUGAUGCGCUUCAAGUACCACCUUCAGGUUCAUCAUCGGUUCACCCAUUCCCAUGAACACGACAUUAGUCACCCUAUGGCUGAAGAUUUCCUCUAUAGCCAAAACCUGGAAAUAUGAUGGUAUCCAGAAUCACAAUAUAUACUGAGCUUGCUCAUGUAUAGCAUACAACAAUGGUAAACCUUACAUGAAAUUUUCAAUCAUGCCUGUGCACAAAUUAGAUCAACAAGCGAGCAUGCAAACAGCCCUUACUUGUAACGGAAUUUGAAGAUAAGAGCAUGGAAAAGACAGUUGAUACUGCUCAACAAUUUCAUGCCUCUUGAGGUUUCUUGAAAAUCCUCCUUUUCCCGUGGCACAAAAAGAGCAACGAAGAGGGCAUCCCACCUGUUUCACCCAAAUUAAUAAGAAAUACAAUACAAACUGCACUGCGGUGAACCAUGCACAAAACCAACACUAAAACAUAACUGCAGGGAAAUUUUAUUUCAAUGGCUGAAUCUCAUCUCAGAAAAUCACCUGUGAUGAGACACACGCUGUAAGGCGCAUCACACCUUUCUCGUCUUUAACUGGUAUGCCAACAGUUUCAAUCAAUCUGUUAUCCUCCAACCUUAUCAAUACCUGCAAGAAUCAAUGGCACAACUCUUAACCGCUAAUACGCUAAUCCAAAAAUUACUUACUGGCAAUCAAACAGCCCCAUUUUACAAACAAUCAUGAUCCAUGUAAACCAUUCAACUUCACAUUGAGUUAUAACAAGGAUAUCCCACAAAAAUUAUCCAGUGGCAGUAACCAUUUUCCAAGACAUUACCUUGACGGUGCCAUCAGCAGCAGUGACGCUCUGGUAAAUGGGUGACCUACCAACUUUCCAUCCAGCUUCCUCAAGCUCAUUUCUGAAUGCCAGAGGCACUGCAACACAAAACCCCCACAGUAAUUUAGCAUUGCCCCCCAAAACCCAAAAAACCCAACUUUUUCUAGAGAGAGAGAUGGAGAGAGAAAGUUACCCUGACUGAAAUCCUGAAUAUCUUUAAUCUUUCUUUUGUAAAUAAGAUGAUGGAGCUGCUUCCCUCUGUAGCCUUGCUGUAAAUACAUUUUCAGAAACAGAAAUUUAAGUAAAUAAAUUCAGUAACUUUCAUUUCUGCACAAACAAAUUGAGAGCAUUUUGUGCUUGUUUACCUGACUGAAGUCGAUAGCUAGCUGCUGGAGCUCUGGUUCCGACAAGCCGAGGAGGACUUGGGGGUCGGUGCUUUUGGGGGCGGUGGUGGUGGUGGACAGGUUCAUGCUCGCCGCUGCCAUGGCGCGAGUGCGGGCAGCACGUGAGAGAGGAACGGCGCAGACGCGCUGAAUUAGCGACGUUGACGAGGCUGUCAUCAUUGUGCUGUGCUGGGUUUUUGCUUUGGCGCGAGAUGAAGAAGAUGAAGCAGAGGAAGAAAGAGCGAGAGUGGGGCUAAAACCUCAGCUUUGUGGUUUACUGAUAUUGGACUUGAUAUGGGCUUUAGGCCCAAGUUGGAUCAAGCCCAUAAUUUGGUCUCGAGCCUGAAUCAGUCCAUGAACACGGUAAAGAGUGGCAACGGGUCGUGUUCAAGUUUAUUUAUUUAUGUUUCGUGUCAGUUGAUCAAUACGUAAAACGAUGUAAAAAUUAAUAACAUAAUAAGCGAUAUAAUAUUUCAUAAUAAGCGAUAUAAUAUUUCUUGAACAACAUUAGUCGUGUUUUAAUUAUGUUAUUAUAUACAUUAUACACCUCGAGUCUUGUACAUAAGAAGUACUCUGAUAAUGAUUAUUGAGAUCUUAUAGAAAUGGACAGUCACAAGUGAUUAGUCCAGCCUUGACAUUGUUUCUAACUUAACAACCUCGAUGAUAUUUUUCCAAAUCCACUGCUACUUAUAAUUCAUAUAAUUAUCUCGAACAUAAGAAAGAAGUAGAGAAAAAUGGGAGCUUGCAGCACCUGGUUCGUAUAAACUUGGCUUGGAACUUGGAGGUUUAAUCGCGUAGCCUCACUCUUUUUUAUUUUAUUUUACACAAUCAAUAUUGGAGAGGGAAUUGAACUCGAGACUUUCGGUGCAUUAGUAGAAACUCUUAGCCAACAGAGCUACAACUCCACAAUUGUGAAGCUUCCAUUAGUUUCUCAAAGUAAGAGGGACAAAUGGAGAGCAAUAUUUUGAAGUGUAGAUGUAAAGAAUGGCAAAUCCUAUACCAUAUGGGAGCCUGGUUAGGUCCUGAAACGCUAGCUGUAGCUCUUGUGGGUUUUUUUGUGAGGACUGCUGAGCUGAAACUGUUGAGUCAUAAGCAGUAGGCGCUUCCCACAUCGACGAGACCAUCAAGAACGAGCUACAGUCGGGAAUAUAAAAAGGGGCAUUUCCGUGCAAGUAAAAAUUACGGAGCCAUGCAUUGAGCACAAAGCGAACUAUUCUUUCGCCUUUUACUAAAGAAUACCGUGUGCUCAUUGCUAUAAGUGGCAUACGCCUAUUUUUGGAGGGGUGCACCUUUGUGGGUGCCCCUUACAAUUCCAGUUCACAAUUUAUCAGAUUUGCGGCAACGCUAUCCAUGUAUGUACUAGGAAGAUUAUGUAAAAUGAAGACUGUCACAUUGUUAACGAGAAAUACGACCUAUAAACUUUAAUCCGAUGCUUGUAAAUCUGUUUUGUAUUUUUCAACGAUUAGAAAAAUUUCUGAAUCCGCCACGUGUUUUCAAUAUUUGUUCGUUGAUUACAAUCAGUGUCUCCUUCAUUACGACACAAUGAAGAAAGUGACUACUCUUCCUUUGCCCCUUGUUCUGCUUUUAAGGUCCUACGCAAUGUUUUAUUGCUCACAACUAGGUGUCGAUGCCAGGUGAGGCUAAGCUCACUCAUCCCUUUUAGUGUAAAUAAUAUUAUCGUUUGUUCAAGAAAAGGUGUCACUGCCGGAAUAUCAAGCUGGCAGCCAUGGGACUGAUUUUCUCAUUCCUUCUGAUCGCCAGUGGAUUCAAGUGGAAGAAAUUUUGGUUACGGAUACUUUUGAGUAAACCAAAUUGUUCCAAUUGGUAACUCUUCGUAACUCAAGUUCUUAAUUUGUUUGUUCCUUGUACAAACUAUAUAUAUGUUUCUCAUUACCAACAAAUUAAAGUUCUAUGAACUAAUUUCCAAUUUAGAAGCCAAUCGACGGAUUAAAUUCCAAAAAUCCGUAGUUAAUUGCACAUACAAAGAGUCGAUUGCAUGUUCCACAUUGUAACGAGACACAAAAAGAGCAUUUUAUCAAUCACCAAACACAAAUAACAAAUCGACCUCUAAAAGUUAUUGGAUUUACCUACCAGAUCAGUGAACAACUUGCUCGAGUUCGGAGCGAGGUUCUUCGUAUACAAGCAAAAUAUGUUGUAAUCAAAACACAAAUUGCUAGUCGUCAUCCAAAGGCGACUGCAUUACAAGAUAUGUGUUUUUGACUAUCUAUGCACUGACAUGUAUGAUGCAAUGGGUCCUGUGAUCAAUCAUGUUACAUUCCAAAAAUUUGACAACGGGUUUUGCCGCCAGAAGUAUAUAGUUAGAAUGGAGACCGCUAAGCAUAUUGUAGUUCUAGUUCCCUUGAUUCAUACGCCGGAGGCAGCAAACUGUGUAUGUUCGCAAAAGGAUCUUCACUGCCUGAUGGUGGCUCCCCAAUAGGUUUAUCCAAAACAUAGUCAGGAAUCGCUACAAGCGUUUCAUCAAAAAACUCUUUCAUGGUCUGCAAGGUUCAAGAGUCAUAUCAGAAACUUAAGCAACUCAGAAAUAACAUACUUUCCUGGAUCAGAGUAAAAAACCAUUGGAAAAUAAUGAAUGAAUAUCAGGCAUUGAUUGGGGAUGGAUUAUAACUUUCAAGUCCUAAAAGUGGAACUUAAAAAGUAUACAAGGAUAAUAACAGCAGCAGCAGGAGCAAUAAUACUACCGUGCAAUGCAGGAAAGCAGCAUCAGCCUUGCGUUUCCAUUGACUAUUCCCAGGUUCUGAAUGGAAAAGACCAAUCAAAGGCUGCAGCAGAACAGAAAGAGGGUGAUGCAAUUGCACCAAAUUACUAUGGUCGGAGAAAACUUCACUCAACAAGAGACUACCUUAAGAUAUUGUAAACCACUCAACAACAAAAAGCAGUGAAAGAGGCGAGAAUAGAGACACCAGGAUAAUAUGGUAUUUCACAAAUUGAUGAUACUGCAAAAGCAUUCAGGUCUAUUUUCUCAAGAAUUCCUUUGCAUCGUUAAACAUAUCCAAAAUGAUAUCCCAGUGCAUUCGGCCUAAAAGAAAUGAUAGCCCAGAGUAAGACCCACCCAUAAGGUAACAACUAGAAUUCAACAAGGCAGAUUGAGCAAGCAAUGCAUGUCAAAUUACAUAAUAUAUAUUAAGCCGUUUGGUAAUGUAAUGUGACAUGUGACAAGACUGAAGAGACCCAUGUUAAUAUUUUUUUAUCCUGAUAUUUUUUUUUAAAGAAAAUCAUCUCGGAGUUGGGAAAAUAUGGAAAAUAAUAACAUAAUAUUGUCAGUUUGACAUUUUCGUGUGUGCAAGAAGAGUUUGUUGGCAUAUUCUAUUUUCUCUAGUAUGACGGGUAUGUGUAAAACUUUCCAGAUAUGAACAUAAUAUUAUGAGGAUGACGGUAGCACUAACCCUUGCUACAUCUCGCACAGUUGGUUUGCGUCCAUAUUUUCCCACAGCAGUAUCUCCAUACGCUCGAAACUUCUCCAGUAUCUAAAGGAGGCGGAAAAGAUAGUUAUAAGCUGUAAAAGUUCAAUGGAAACUGAGUAGAUACACCUAUAUACAGCCAAGUUUGCAGACCUGACGCCGUGUUACACCACUGCUUGGUGCUCCAUAAACUACAGUAUCAACAUGUCCCAAAGUAUGCCAUGGUCUAUUGAAAAAUGUACAACGGUUGUCAGUCAACUUUGGAGUCACAUAUUAACAUUGCAGUAGAGAGGACUAUCAGAAUUUUAAAUCAGAAUUCUAAAUCUAAAUAAAAUAAAAACCUAACCUAAAGUUAACACAAAUUUUAACCCAAAAUGUUGGGGAUAUUUUAAUAUGGUGGAAUCAUUAAAGCUAGUAGUUAGUCUUCAUUCAAGUCUUGAUCUUUCACUUUCCAGUAAAUUUCUUACUUGGCACAUCCAAGAUGCGCAUUUGGUUCAAGGGUAGCGGACAGACUUGCAUAUGGGCUAAAUAAUAUAGUGGAGGGAAAAUGCUUCCUUUUCUUGGACAACCCUCGUAGACCAGAAAAGAUCAACAUAAGAGUUUUCAUAAUCAGCUACCCUAAUUUCAUUCUUUCAAGUCUUGCGUCUUCUACUUAAGCCCUUGUUUCACGCAAAAAUUUCAUUUGGUCCUUUGAUAGGAAACAAAAACUCUACUGAAAGAACUCUAGUUUCACUCUAAGGGCUAGAAUUACAUGUGCACUCAGACACAAAAAUGAAACAGAAGUAUAUACAGUAUAAUCAUCAGAGAGGAUAAGAGUCAUAAAAUAGACUGAUAGAGACUUGAACUACGUAUACCAAAUUUGAAAGUUCUUGCAGCAAUUACCACAAGGAAAAAGAAAAUCCAAAUUAUGAUAUUACAUACUUAUUAAAUGCAGCGCGUCCAACCAUUACACCAUGAGCUCCUGCCCUUCUUGCUGCAUUGACCUAUAAUUAGUGGGGGAAGACGACAUGAGAUAAAGGUUGUCAACAUAGAGUUUCUGCAUCAACUAAGAGGCAGCACAAAAAUGUCGACAGUUUUGUUGUAUCACUAUCACCAUGUAUGCCCAACUCAUGUUAGAAACCAGGAAUUCCAAUUCAUAUAUAUGCAUAAAGUUGGAACAUCAAGAAAAUAACAGGUAAAUUUUGCAUAUAUGCUGUAUUGACUAAUUACAAUGAAGAAAGUUUCAAAACAAUACAACCUUGUCAACAGUAAGGAAAUGACAGCAGGGACACAAUACCCCAAGUUACACUAAUGUCCCAAUGGACGACACAAAAUUUUAUAGAAAAUAAUGAUAGAAUUGAAUAAAAAUGUAGCUGGAAACAUGAUAUCCUCUGAAGACAAUACAAUUGUUCAUAGGUUCACCUCCUCAACGGUGUUUAUGCCCCCAUUUAUUGUAAAUCUCAAGUCUGGAAAGUCACGCAAGAGGCCAUAAAAGUACUCAUAUCUGCAAUAAAGUAAUAUAUGAACAUUAAUAAGAAGCCGUAUGUUACUUGUGAAUGUAAUACAAAUGUUUACAAAUAUAAUCCAAGCAUUUUUUAAUAGCAAUUAUGAGAUAAGCAUAUCAGUAAAGUGAAGAAAAUAUAAGUUCAUAAAACAAGAAAUAACAGAAUACAUACUUAAGAGGCGGAAUACUUCGAUUUUCAGCUGGGCUAAUUCCAUUAAGUAGUGCCUUCCGUGAAUGUAUUAUGAAAUGCCUAGUUGGUGAUUGAGAAGAAACCUUGUAAAUAAAAUCACCUGAAAAAGAGACAGGUGGUGACAAAAUUAAGUGAGGAUGCAACUCAAGAAACUAACAUAAGCAUAGCUAUAUUCCUUUCAUAUUCAGAUAGACAACGAUAUGGAAUUAGAUAAACUCAGUUAUAAGCAUUAGAUGAAUCAAUAAUGCUCUAUGUUUAUCACUCAACAAGCAUAUAAAACAUAAAUGUGGAAAGUGUACGCAACAAACAAAAGGUGGUUCCUGUUAACUUUCCAAAAAGCUGCACUUUGCUGUUGUAGGAUAAUUUAGAAAGCUCUUGCAUUUACCCCAUCGCUUCUAUAUCGGUACUACAUUUCACUGCUAAAUUUGUAUUUAAUCUGAUGGAUGAAACUUUGUAAUAUAAAUUACAUCCUCUUUUUGUUAUUUGGCAUACUGUAAAUCAUGUCUAAACCUAUUCUUUUAAUUUCCUUUUCCUUUAACUCAGAGAUCAUUUUGAACUUAUGGUAAGAAAAAUAUGCAAAAUCACCAAACUGAUCAAAAUUUAGGCUUCCAACGAUGUACAAAUUUUGACUUUUUGUAGCACUGAAUGUCAUUGUGUUUUCAUGGUAUAAAUAUAAUUGCAUAAUCAUAAAGCAAUAAACAAGGGCUAUGAAAGGUAUGGCCAAACACAGAAUGCAAAAUUCAAGCAUAACUAUUUAUAUUAUGCAAGAAACUAUGUGUCCUCAGUUCAUCAUUCGCUGGCUUUUCCAAUGUCUUUCUUCUUUUUUUCUAUAUUGAUAUUGACUAGUUUGCUGACUAUAUAAACAGAAGAAUCAGGCAAAGAAAACUUACAGAGCUCGUUUAUGAGUCAUGAUUAUCAACACCAAUUCGACAUUUCACGCUAACAGGUGCAUCUGUGUGCGCAGCAAUCACUGACAUAGCCUCAGCAACAAACUUUCCUUGUAAAGACCAAAUGUCUUUAUCAGAGAACAUUAUAAAGAAAAAAAAACUAUAUAUAUAUGUGUGUGUGUGUGUGGAAAAGUUGCAAAUAACAAUAUAAUGAGAAAGGUAUCAAACCUUUGGAUCAAGCAUAAGACUAGCACCAAAGCACCCGUGCCCAGCUACUCUUGGACUCGGACAUCCACAACUGGUAAACGGUAGAGGGUCAGAUUAGAGGUUGGGGAGAACUUGAAAGAUAAAAAUUCUAACGGACAAAAGCUUAAUAAAGAGUACAAACUUAAAAUUGAUCUCAUCAUAUUUGUAAGGGUUAGCAAGCUCAGUCGCUUUGGCGAGGUUUUCCAAAUUAUUCCCGCCAAUUUGAAGAACAAUAGGAUGUUGUUCCGGGGAAUAUUCCAAGAAUCUAUCCUGUUAAAAGUCCCACUAUCAGUAUCAGUUUUCUUAAUCCAAACAUAUCGAAUACAUAUCGAAUGUACAAGAAAAAUCCAGAAAUAAAUGAAACUGUGAAUACCAGUUCAAAAUUUAUCAAAAAAAUAAAAACAUAACAAAAUAAAAGAACUUUAAUCUAGGGGUUGGCCCUUAACCCAAGGGUUGGGGCGGGUCUAAGGUGGAGAAAUUGACGGGGCAGGUCCAAAAAUCAGAAGAAACAGGGCUCUGGCCCGAACUGUUCUACCGUUGGACAAUUGGAUUGAAUCACACCUCCACCGUUGGAUCUUUUCUCAUUCAUUAUCAGACUCACUCUUCUCUCCCAAGUGCCUCGACAGCCAUCAUCAAUUCACCAUCCCUUGACUCUGUCUCCCUCUCUUUGGCUUCUGGAAACCACCAUCACCAUCGUCUCCUCCCAUACCUUCCAAUCGCGACCACCCCCGUCACCACCAUCGAGAUUGUACAACACCACGGCCAGCGCUUGCGAAUCAAAAUCGACCACCAACCAUCACCAAUUGAAAUUGGCCACCACCUACUGGGAUGAGCAGGGGACAUGGAGCCAAUGAUUCCAGUGAAAUCUCUGAGAUGGUGGCGUACACCAAAUAAACUUCACAAUUUCCACCAAAUUACUUUUUGGUUGAGACUAUUUCAAAGCUUUCAGAUGCUGAUGUGACACUGAACAAUUCCUUCUAAUCUUAUACAAAAUGAAGUCCAAUGGGUUUCAAUGAGGUUAGGCUUGGCUCAGUUAAAGACUUCUUAUGAGCUCACGGUGUGGUAGAGUUAAUAGUAUAUGGGGAGAAAUAGCUAAGUGUUCCGGGAACACAGAGAUCUCAAUUAGAGGUAAUAAUGCAUUCUAAACACAGUAGCAAGAUCAUGCAUCUUUUAUGAAGUCCAUGAACACCCUUUUACUGUAGUAUUAGAAAUUCAAAAUAUUCAACUGAUUGAAACCGAUAAUCAGAAACCCCCCACGGUAAAGUUAUCUACUUCAACUAAACGCUUUAUUUAAAGAGAAAUGUCAAGUAAACACAUGGAAGAUGUUUGUCAAACUAACCCUUCUAUUAGAUGCCUACAUCAAUUCAGUAGAACCCUAAUGUUAUCUGGAGAAAACCAACUUCUACCGAAUUAAUUAUUCGUUGCCAGUAUUUCAAAGCUUUCGGAUUCGGAAGUGAAACUCAACAAAUCUUUCUAAUGUUGCACAAAACGAAGUCCAAUUUGAGGCUACAAAUUGCAAUACUUGCAGAAAGAGUAAAUAUAAAUAUGGUUUACCAGAUUAUCCUUCUGGUAGACAAUGGUCUCAGCAGCAAGCAUCUCGGUGUAGAGCCACGCAUUCUUCGAAAUGAGCCUGGCCAGCGUCCUGUAGUGAUUGUCAGUCCACUCCAUCAUGGGAGCAAUACUGUAAAUUUGCAAAAAAACCCAAUUCCGCAAAAAACCAUAAAAAUCAUGGGCAGCAAUGCAAUGUGCAAAUCAAUUGAAAAGUAGAGAGAGAGGGAGAAGAAGAUGAGAACCUAAACCAAGGAGGAGGGUAAUGGGCGUGGUGAGGGUGGGUGGCGAGAGAAGAAACCAUGGCGGCGGCAGCGGCGGGUGUGCUACUGCUGAGCAGUUGAUGGGUUUUGAGAGGAGGAGGAAGUAAAAGUGGUGGUGGUGGAUGAGUUGGCCGUUGAAGAAGUGCCCUGAAAUAGAUUAAACGACAAUUUGCCACGGUUUUUUGUGCGAAGAAAAGCAGAAUGAAUAGGAGUAACAGAGGAAUAAGAAGAAGAAGAAGUUGGAAAAUUCAUUUUUUUUCUUAUGGGUCUGAAUUUAAACUCACGGUUCAGAGAAUCUCAGAGGCUCCUGCUGGUUGUGUUUGUUGGCUCCAUGGACUCUCGGGAGGGAGGCUGAUAGCUUGAUAGGGCAAUUCUUGGUCGACGGAGGCAGAAGACAGAGCCACUGGAAAACGAAAGGUUGCUAUCUAUUGGACUUGGACAUGUUAAAAGUAGCCCAAUUUAACACUAGGCCCAAUUAAAAAGCAUUUAGCUUACUUUUACAUAAAUACUGUUUGACUCUUUACAUAUAAAAAUCACUCGUUGUCAAUGCAAAAUUAAAAUAUGCAAAAAUAUAACAAAAGCUUAUGAAUAUAAGUUAAAAUGUGAUUUUUCUGCAAAAACCAAAGAUUUAUUUUACAUGUAAGGAGCCAAGUAUUUUUCGUUAUGAAAUUUGAUCUUUAACACCCAAAUUCCCUUUUGAAAAAUUAAAAAAAAAACAAAAAGAGAAAAAAACUUUGGGUGUCCAAAAACCCUCAAUAUGACCGUCACACGAGAUGGUACACUACGUGUUCCUAUAGAAAUUGUGGGUUAUAUGUGUUAAAAGGUUAAUAAAUUAAAAAUUUAAAAAUUUCACCACUUGCAUAAAAACAUGUAGUAUACCAUCGUGUUCUCGUCACAACUAAAAAUUUCUCUUACGGGGCCCACAUUCAUCUUCAAGUAUAUGUGGCGGAGAAACAACCGCUGUAACUGUUUUUCUUCUUCCUGCAAACUCUAUCAGUUCAGUUCCUUACUCUCACUACUUCCAUGGCGAGCUUCAGCUUCAACACCACCAGAAUCAGAACCCCCACCCUUCACUCUCACAAACCCAUCUCCAAAUUCAUCUCCCGCGUAAACCCCAUCAAAAUCCCAUCUCCUCUCUUCACCAAUCCCUCAAAACCCCGGCCAAAACUCCGCUGUUUCCGACCCAAUUCCGUCUCGGAAAGCUCUGUUUCCACGACACAAGAAGCAGAGGAGGAGGAAUUCGAUGAAUUGGACGAUGACCCGACGGCGGAGCUGAGCUACCUCGACCCAGAAACCGACCCGGAGAGCAUUUCGGAGUGGGAGCUGGAUUUCUGCUCGAGGCCGAUUUUGGAUAUCAGGGGGAAGAAGGUGUGGGAGCUGGUAGUGUGUGACGAAUCGCUGUCUCUGCAGUUUACAAAGUAUUUUCCGAACAAUGUUAUCAACAGCAUUACUUUGAAGGAUGCUAUUGUGUCCAUUAGUGACGAAUUAGGCGUCCCUCUGCCGGAUAAAAUCCGCUACUUCAGGUAAUCAUAACCGUUCAUUUUCUUAAUCUUCAUUUAAAGAUCAUCUUUGCAACUAAACCGGCAAAGAUGCAGUCAUUUAUAUGUGUCGAACAAAUCAACAACUACGUUAAUCACAAUUGGUGAGGUGCGCUCAUCGGGUUGGCGCAACUAUUUUCUUACUAGUUGUUACAACUCGGUAACAAUGGCUGAAAUUUUGCAAAUUUCUGAACGAAAAUAGCAUGUUUGGGGCACGUAUGAGGUACCUUACCCUCACAUUGGUCACUCGUGCGCAAAAUAUUUUGAAAGAAGUUGAUGAAAUAAAGUCAUUGUCCUCGAAUUGUAACAUAUAGUAAAUUAGAGGGUUAAAAUCGCAGAACUUAGCCGUUUAUUUUGCGCAUAAUGUGUGCUUCUGUGGAUUGUGCGUACUUGAGAAAGCAUGUCACUUGGGAUUUGGUAACGGUUCCACUUUUAUGAUUUGUCUAAUUGGACUACGUAGGUCACAGAUGCAGACAAUUAUCACAAAGGCAUGUAACGAGCUUGGUAUAAAGCCGAUUCCCAGUAAACGGGUAAGCAUGUUUUUCUUAUCAAUUGUCUAAUUUUCGGAACAUGUACAGAUUGAGGAAGCAGGUUUUCAACCACACAACUGAUCAAGUAACUUAAGAAAGUUAAGCUAAUAGCCUAGAGAAUUUAGAGGGCCACUACAGAGUUAAAGAUUUCUGUUUUGGAAAAUUGUGGUUGGUUGUUUUCUGUUACGUAAAUUAUCACCGGAAAUAAACACGGUUGUACUGUACAGAAGUAUGUGACAUUGAACUAUCGCGAUGCUACCGCAGAUGCAGAAGUUGCAUGACUUUGAAACACUGUCAUCAGUUAGCAAUGAAGCUUUUUCUUUGAGUUUCUGGUGCAACUGCUUCUCUCUGUCUGCUUAUUGUCUUAAAACAUUGCUUUUUUCAGUGCCUAUCGCUGCUUUUGUGGUUGGAAGAACGCUACGAGACAGUAUACACACGCCAUCCUGGUUUCCAGAAAGGAUCUAAGCCGCUCCUGGCAUUGGAUAACCCUUUCCCAAUGGAACUUCCGGAAAAUCUUGUUGGCGAGAAAUGGGCCUUUGUUCAGUUGCCCUUUUCAGGUAAAGAACUUGCUAAUAGCGACGUUUCAACAAAUAUAACAAGUCACAUUCUCUGACCUGCCUUAUUCUUCCAGUAACAUUUCAUGUGCCCUUGCUAAUUCUACUUCCUGUUUCAGCUGUUCAAGAGGAAAUCUCAUCCUUAGACACGAACCUCGUGUUUGGCGCAAGUCUAGAUCUGGAUUUGUUGGGGAUUGAAAUUGACGAGAAGACAUUGAUUCCAGGAUUGGCUGUUGCAUCUUCACGUGCAAAACCGCUAGCAGGUGUUUAUUCUCUCGGACUGUCGUCUUCUUUCUUCUUAUGCAUAUUUACUUGCACAUAUCGAUACACAGAUAGCGUUUUGUGUCAUUGGAUUGCUAAUAUGAACUGUUGGGCGAGUGGAUCGACAAGAUAACAGUAUCUUCUUGUGAUACAUUUUCCAUAAGUCCGCUCUCAUUCCUAUUGCGUCUUGUACAAUUUUGUGUUGUUCCUCUAACAAUCAAGGAUCUGAUCACAUCUUGCUAUAUGGUGCUGCAGCUUGGAUGAAUGGGUUGGAAGUUUGCUCUAUUGAAGUCGAUUUGUCACGGGCACGCUUGCUACUUUCUGUCGGGAUCUCUGGCCGAUAUAUUUACGCCACCUACAAUAAAACUCCUGAAACAAGAAGUGAAGCCGAAGCUUGGGAAGCAGCAAAGAAGGAUUGUGGAGGCUUGCACUUCCUUGCAAUCCAGGGGGACUUGGACGGUGAUGAUUGUGUCGGAUUUUGGCUUCUGCUGGACUUGCCACCUCCACCUGUAUAGUUUAAUCUGUCGAAAGGUUUUCGAAAGAAAUCACUCUCACGUUAGUUUCUUAGUUACAUUACUUCAUCUUCAUACUUCAUAGUUGAGAAAUGAUUGCGAAUACUGCUUUGGAACGGAGUUUCUUGUUGAAAAUUUGUACUGUUUAUCAAACUCGCUAUCCGGUAAACUUGGUAGCAGGGUUCAAGGUCUCUCAUGCAAAACUUUGGUUCGGGGUCCCUGAGUUAUCGUACCGGGUCUGUGAUCCUGUGUUUGGGAUCACAGACCCAAAGUUAUCCACUUAACAUUUUCAACUUGUAUUGCCCCUCCUUCUAAGGAACUUUAGGAUGCGAAAUAUUCCACAGAAAAGCAAGCACAACCCUCCUUCAUUCAUCUUUAUUCUAACCUCGUUUGAAGUAGUCUCGAUUUCGCCGUUCACCCCUGCAAGUUUCCAGAACUUAUCAAGUUCGUCAGGCGUGGGAUUUACAGUUUCACAACUAAUUGAUGGUGCCACCAAAAUCGACUCCUGCUCGGGCGUAGUCAGUUACGAGGCACCCCGAUCUGCACGAACAAUGACUUGAGGAUGGGAUGCUUUCUAAUUGCUGAACAAAUUUCAGUCAUCAAAGUAAUGCCGGAAGCAUUCAUACUUUCAAAGAUGGUAAAACACAUCUGCACCGCUACGAAAACAACUUUUCAUUCCUAUCCUCUCUGUUACCGAGAGUUCUAAAAUAUCAUAGUUCGAGGCUGAGUAUUCGAAUACAUUUCAAGAAGAUAGCUUAGCAGUCUAUACAACGAAAGAAAGAAAAAAAAAAAAAAAAGGAGAAAAAAAGAAAAGAAAACCUGCCUACCUCAGAAUUUACCCCGGUUCACCAGAACCCAUUCUUCACGACCGAUGAAACUGAACAGCCCUGCACAUACAAUCCAGUCUCAAGUCCGAAAGAAUGUGAGCACAGAUACAAGCCAAUGGAUAUGCUACAACAUGUUAUCUCUUCCGCCUUUUCAGAGGCAGACAACUUCCUUUCCAUCUUAAUCUGGAAGAAAGCCUACAGAUGAGAUCAACACAAACAUCAAGUUGUGUGUACGUACAGCCCUCAUGUUCUUGGCCUCUUAUGCUUUUGAGAUACAAAUCGAACCCCUUGCUUCCCGAGUUCCAGAGAUUUGACUUUGCCAUCAUCUAAAGUAACAGAUAAUGUUGACAUGCCUUCAAUAACAUCGCUAACCACUCCCUUAUGCCUGUACGAAACAUGGGAAAAAGGAAAGAAAUCAACUCAAAUGAUAACACCAAAAGUCUCCCCUUAAAGUAACACUUGAUACUGAAAACCACAUCUUCUUCGGAAACAAUCAUUUAGCAGAAAACAUGACCGACAAUCGUCUUAAUGAUUAAAUUGCUGGUAUUAAACUGCUUACAACUCAAGAAGUCCUUUUAUAUGUUAGUAUGAACUGUAAUAUUUUGUUUUAUCUUAUUUAGGGUCCUAUGAGACUGAGUAAUGCACUAUACAGAAACAACAAACUCACCAUGAAUUGUCAGAUAGCUGCUGAACUUCAACUCGCUUUCCAAUUGCAUCUCUGCCCAAUUUUUUCAAUAUCCAGUUAACAUCCAUCUCAUCCAUUACAUUAUCCUGAACUGAUUGUGUCUUGUCAUCAUUCUCACCAAAUGAUGUCUUCUCCAUAAACGGUGAUGCUCUCUUUCUUUUUGACCGCUGGCCCUUGACGUAACUUUUUUCUUCCUCAUGAUGAGAAGAAUUCUGAUUUUCAAUAUUAGGCUUCUUGAGCUUAAACUUCAAUGACGGAGGUUUGGCAUCUUUUGACGAAGAAUGUGACACGGGUGUCUGAGCGUAAGAAUCAUUGGUUUCAGUACGUAUAUUAGACCUGCUAUGUGAAUGCUUCCGGGAAUAUACCCUGUCAUUUCUUAAAGUCGGGACUUCACCUACAGGCACAGCUGCAGUCGUGCCUCCUUCAAUGCCUUUUCCAAACGAAACAGGUGUCUGCUCAGGUUGAAUGGCUUCAUAUUCAUCAGCCUUAUCCCCUCUUGCAAAUUUGGGGUUAUGAUCAGAAGCUCCAGACCUAACUUUUCCCAACUUUAUAAAGUUUCCUUCUCUCCCAGAAACCUUUGGAACUUUCAAAGGGCUAGAAUAAUCACUUUUAUCUGCACAAUGUCAUCACGAAGGUUUCAACUUUCAAUUACACAACAUAAGAAAACAUCCAAUUUUGACUGAAAUACUAAUCAAUUGAAAAGAGAUCGAACUUUUCCACCAUACUAAUGGGUUGCAACUUGUAAUCCUUAUACCUUUAGCAUUAACCGAACCAUCAUGUCUAUCCACCAUAACAGGUGCUCUCUGCUGGCUGGCAUCUUCACCGGCUGCCCAUCAAGAGGAACACAAGUCAUAUAUCUACACAUAUAUACAAUACACACACAAAAUAUAUUGGUUUCUUUCAAGAAUUUUCUACUAGCCUAUUUAUCUUUAUUAAUUAAAGUAACCUGGCUACAUCCACCAUAAGCAGCUACUUCUCUUAUUGGUUUUCAGCCCUCAAAAUAUUUUUUUUAUAUAAAAAACGAUGGUUUUUGGCCCUCAAAAUUGAAGUGAUAUUCUAAAUAAUAUUGCAAGUGGGGACAGAACAACAACAACAACAAAGCCUUUUCCCACUAAGUGGGGUCGGCUAUAUGAAUCCUAGAACGCCAUUGCGCUCGGUUUUGUGUCAUGUCCUCCGUUAGAUCCAAGUACUCUAAGCCUUUUCUUAGAGUCUCUUCCAAAGUUUUCCUAGGUCUUCCUCUACCCCUUCGGCCCUGAACCUCUGUCCCGUACUCACAUCUUCGAACCGGAGCGUCAGUCGGCCUUCUUUGCACAUGUCCAAAUCACCGGAACCGAUUUUCUCUCAUCUUUCCUUCAGUUUCGGCUACUCCUACUUUACCUCGGAUAUCCUCAUUCUCAAUCUUAUCCUUUCUCGUGUGCCCACACAUCCCACGAAGCAUCCUCAUCUCCGCUACACCCAUUUUGUGUACGUGUUGAUGUUUCACCGCCCAGCAUUCUGUGCCAUACAACAUCGCUGGCCUUAUUGCCGUCCUAUAAAAUUUUCCCUUGAGCUUCAGUGGCCUACGACGGUCACACAACACGCCGGAUGCACUCUUACACUUCAUCCAUCCAGCUCGUAUUCUAUGGUUGAGAUCUCCAUCUAAUUCUCCGUUCUCUUGCAAGAUAGAUCCUAGGUAGCGAAAACGGUCGCUUUUUGUGAUCUUCGCUAGAUUGCUCCGGUUAUUAGUGUGGAUAAGUAUAUAAAUGGAUAGAGAUAGGAAAGCAAACACAAGAUGUACGUGGUUCACCCAGAUUGGCUACGUCCACGGAAUAGAAGAGUUCUCAUUAAUUGUGAAGGGUUUACACAAGUCCAUAGGUUCAAGCUCUCCUUUAGUGAGUACAAGUGAAUGAUUUAGUACAAAUGACAUUAGGAAAUAUUGUGGGAGAAUGAUCUCGUAAUCACGAAACUUCUAAGUAUCGGAGUGUGGUAUCAUCUUGACUUGCCUUAUCUGUCUCAUAGGUAGAUGUGGCAGCUUCUCUGGAAGUACUCUUCCUCCAUCCAGGGGUGGUAUCUUUAACUGAUGGAGAUGCACAAGGUAAUGUAUCAAUUUCACUUGAAGCUUACUUGUAGUUUCAGGCUUGGUCAAGCGCGAUACAAACCAUGUAGUAGGAGUCCCCCAAGUCGCCGAGCUAGGGGAUCUGCUGAAAGAGGUGACAAACAAGGUAAGCAAUCAGAGCUCCGACUGAUUGUUCACCUUCUCCCCAUCUUGCAGCAGCAUGAAGGAUAAAGAGAAGAAAAAUGAGAAGAGAUGAUAUGGGAUACUUUUGCUUUUGAAGAAGUAACUUUCCACAGGCUUAUUCUUGAACUGAGCUGGAGGGUUUUCUGGUUUCCUCCAGAGUAUAAGGCCGACUGAAGAAUUUGAGGGUCAAAACAAGUCCAUCAAAUCUAGAGUACGUUCGACCCUGCUGAUAUGGGAUACUUUUGCUUUUGACAGAGUAAUGGAUGUAUCGGCACAUGUGCUGUUACGCUUGUCUCCACAUGCUUCCUUGUAUCCUUCGCACUUGCCCUAUCUGUUCCUCAAGCAGAUGCGGUAUCUUCCCUGGAAACAUAGGAUGUUGAAGAUGAGUACUCGAGAGCAAUGCCAGGUAAGUAAUCAGGUAAGGGGUUCCAGGCAGUCAGUUCCUGGCUAGGAGCUUGAUUUCAAGUGCUGACUGAUUGCUCUCUUUCUCCUUGUCUUGCAGGUAAAAACAAGGCCAAAGGAAAAGACAGGGAAAAAGCAUGAUAUGGGAUACUCUUGCUUUUAACCCUGAUGAUAUGAGAUAUUCUUGCUCUAGUAUAGCUUGUUUGCAGAGGUAUUAUCGGGGGGAAAGAAAGCUGAAUAUUUCGAAAGGCUUAGUUGAGAGUGCCCUCUCAGAUAUGAGGAAGGGUUGAGCAUUUUUGCAGGUCUGCCUGUCCGUUGGGGAUGGAGGUCGACAUAUAUAGGAGUCUCCCUAACAACAAGUAGUAAUGCUAUUCCUUUACCCUGCUUGGUCAAAGCACGGUAGUGGGAGCUGCCAGCUUCACAUGUUUUAACUCUGUCAGAGCACUUUGAAAAAGUGGUAUGUGGUAUCUGGCUCUUGAGAUUCGGAGAACGAUGCUUUUUCGAUUUUUGAGAAAGCAAUCAUGCUGGGGGUCUAGCUCUCGAGAUUCGGGGAGCAGUGUCUCUUCGAUUUUUGAGAAAGUAAUCAUGUUGGGAGUGGCUCUCGAGAUUCGGAGGGCGGUGCCUCUUCGAUUUUGGAGUAAGCAAUCUUGUUGGGAGUGUUUUCUCGGAUGUGAGUAAAGGUUGGGCAUGUUUGCUAGUCUACCUUGCCACGAAGCACGGAGGUUGACACACAGGGACUUUCCAAUUAUCCAGCAGUGGUACUGUUCCUUUACCCUUGUGGGUAAUAAUAUGGUAGCUAGACCUUCAAAAUUUAUGUGUCUAAACUUUGUUAGUGCUGUUUCUUUGCUAUUCUUUUACAUUUCUUGGUCAGAGCGAUGUAGUGGGAGCUGCAAGCUUCACGUGCUCAACUUUGGCAGAGACUUUGGCAAAGUUAUCUGUGGUACCCAUGAGCUAUUGUUGCGUGUGGGAAGUGGGUGAUUGAACAGUAAGAUUCAUGUGCUUUCUACUUCACCAGAAGUCUUCGACAGAAUGCCCAUAAUUUCCGCAAAGCUGAGUGUGCGUGUGACAGGUGCUGACAAGGUUAGAAAAGUAGGUGCCUCUUCGAUUUCUGAGAUCGGCCCUCGUGGUCUCUGAGUAGCCCAGCUUUUGAGAAAGCGAGCGCCUCUUCGAUUGAUUCGGAGAACGAUGCCUCUUCGAUUUUUGAGAAAGCAAUCAUGCUGGGGGUCUGGCUCUCGAGAUUCGGGGAGCAGUGUCUCUUCGAUUUUUGAGAAAGUAAUCAUGUUGGGAGUCUGGCUCUCGAGAUUCGGAGGGCGGUGCCUCUUCGAUUUUGGAGCAAGCAAUCUUGUUGGGAGUGUUUUCUCGAAUGUGAGUAAAGGUUGGGCAUGUUUGCUAGUCUACCUUGCCACGAAGCACAGAGGUUGACACACAGGGACUUUCCAAUUAUCCAACAAUGGUACUGUUCCUUUACCCUCUCUUCGAUUUUUGAGAAAGUAGUCAUGUUGGGAGUCUGGCUCUCGAGAUUCGGAGGACGGUGCCUCUUCGAUUUUGGAGCAAGCAAUCUUAUUGGGAGUGUUUUCUCGAAUGUGAGUAAAGGUUGGGCAUGUUUGCUAGUCUACCUUGCCACGAGGCACAGAGGUUGACACACAGGGACUUUCCAAUUAUCCAGCAGUGGUACUGUUCCUUUACCCUUGUGGGUAAUAAUAUGGUAGCUAGA
RNAcentral lists this long non-coding RNA (78642 nucleotides) under Malus domestica (apple). The record is from RNAcentral. Lineage: Eukaryota; Viridiplantae; Streptophyta; Magnoliopsida; Rosales; Rosaceae.